This 65735-nucleotide long non-coding RNA is filed under the name Gossypium raimondii (Peruvian cotton). RNAcentral's name for it is "long non-coding RNA (GRAI_LNC010223)". The stretch from base 24707 to 24847 matches the Rfam family "MIR7502 microRNA precursor family". The record is from RNAcentral. Lineage: Eukaryota; Viridiplantae; Streptophyta; Magnoliopsida; Malvales; Malvaceae.
UUUUUUUUUUUUUUUGAAUAUGGUUAUGUUUAUUUCUUCUCAUUCAUCUCUUUUACACAAAAACCACCUUUUGCAUAACUAAGAAUAUCAUAUUAUAAAAUUCACCUCUUGAAUUUUUAAAAAUAAAAGUAACUAAAACAUGUUAAUACUUAUAAAGAUUAGAUCUUGAACUUUUUGGUCCAGGAAUCCUAGAAAAGAUGAAGUGGAUAUUGUGUUAUCUAUUGCUAGAAAUUGAUCAAAUUGGAGAUUAGCAUUUGAAAAUGAAACUAUGUAAUUGUUUUUAAAUAUCUAUUUUCUAGUCAUUCUGUUCAUUGUACAAGUAAAAUUGAUGUUAGAAUAGAAAAAUUUUGCUGGUUGAGGGAUGAAUCAAGAAAAAUAUUUAAGUUGUUACCUCAAAUAAUGCAAUUUACUCUCUUUUUUUUCCCUUGUCAUUUAUGGAUUCUCCAUUUCCAGGCAUGGACUGGACAUCACCAUGUAUCCUAUAUAUCAAUCACAUUUAAGCAUCACACCACUCUCUCAUUCUGCCACUUUCAACCAAACACAUAGGAUUGCUCCCCCUAUCACAAACACACAAUAUUCCUCAAUCAUUUCAAUUAUCUUUGAUUUAUGUAUAAUUCUAAAUUACGUUGUUAUUUUUCACUUCUCAAACAUAUUUUACCUUUGAAAAUUCGAACUCCAAAGAUUACUCUCUUAGUCUGUCUGAAUGGAGACAGUCUUAAUUACUAAAUGGGUUCUUAUUGGUUGAAGGGUGUAAAUUCUUCAUAGAAAGGGCUAAUUCCAUUUAAUAUUUCCAUGGAACAUGUUAUACCAACUAUACUUAUCUUUUUCUCUAUGUUAACUUUUUCUAGAAAUUUGCUGCAGGAAUGUGGAUUUACUCCCUCAAUCAUCAGCUAUGGAUGUCUUAUUAAUCUUUAUGCUAAGGCAAGGAUUUUUAAUUUUUAUUCAAUGAUUCUUUUCCUUUGUAUGCACUCCCCCAAACCCCCCUUGUACGGUGUAUUCCUCUUCUGUGUGUGUGUGUGUGUUUUGGGGAGUGUUGAAGUUCAGUGAAUCUCUUUGUUGAAUUGAAGCAUUUUAUCCUCCUUUGCCUGUCCUUUCCCUAGAAAGUAGUAAAAUAUAUGUUCAACUAGUUUUCUUUGUAGUCUCUGGAAAAAUCUGUAGCCCCUUCGUGCCUUGUCCCUGUUUUUCUGUGCCAGUUAAAUUCUAAAGAAAUCAGAUGGGAAUAGUACUACAAAUGAAUUAGGAGCUUGUGAUCUUUUCUAAGGAGGCAAACUGAAUUUGAACUAAAAUAUAGACUUGUUUCUUAUGAAACAUAACUCAAGUAUGCCGGUCAAGAGCAUAAGCCAACCCUUUAAAUUGCAUCUCUGCUAUUUUCACUUCUAAAAAAUUCCUGUCAAUAUGUCUCUGCUAUUUUCUAAAAUAUUCCUGUUAAUUAAGAUAUUCUCUGCUACUUUCACUUCUAAAGGUUUCAAUUUUUUCCCUGAAAUUGCAUCUCUAUUAUUGCGGAAAAAUGCUUAAAGACAUUAUUAUGAAAUACUCCUUCUAAUAUGUCUCUGAAUUAAUUACCUUCUUUAUGCAUUUUGUUUCCAGAUUGGAAAAGUCUCCAAAGCUUUAGAAGUUAGCAAAAUGAUGGAAUCUGCUGGUAUAAAGCAUAACAUGAAGACUUAUUCCAUGUUGAUCAAUGGAUAUUUGAAACUAAAAGAUUGGGCCAAUGCUUUUGCAAUUUUUGAGGAUCUGGUCAAAGAUGGUUUGAAGCCUGAUGUAGUACUAUAUAAUAAUAUCAUCCGGGCCUUUUGUGGGAUGGGUAACAUGGAUCGCGCAAUUCAUACUGUCAAGGAAAUGCAGAAGGAGAGGCAUCGACCUACUACACGGACAUUUAUGCCCAUUAUACAUGGUUUUGCAAGAGCUGGGGAAAUGAGAAGAGCGUUGGAAGUUUUUGAUAUGAUGAGGAGGAGUGGUUGCAUUCCAACUGUACACACUUUCAACGCUUUGAUUCUUGGCCUUACUGAGAAACGUCAGGUAUAAUGAUAUAUAAGAUACUGAGGUAGUUAAAUCCUGGAUUUUUCAUGUGCACUGGCAAGGCUAGAGGGAUGCUUAUAUCAUGAAUUUUUGUCACAUUAGUCGAGUAUUAAUUUUUUAUAAAAUAAUUAAUUCAAGUAUUUCAUCCCUGGGUAUUUCAUUUAGCCAAUGGAGUAACUGCAUGCAGAACAUUACCAGUUGGCUGGUAAAUUGUUUUACACAUGAUACUGGAAGGAGAAGUUUUAUAUUACUCCAUGCAUUGCUACAUUCAACUGUAUUCCGUUCCAUUCUUUUUCGUAUACAUGGGGAUUCAUAGGCAUUGGAUUAGGCAAUUCGGAGAGCCUUCUGCUAUUCCAUGAACCCUACUCUCCCACCCUCAAUCCUCAAACUGGAGGUUUCAAAAUUGGAAUUUCAAGUGAUAUCUAUCGUGGCAUUCAUUUUGAGACAUAUUGUCCUUUUGACUAAGAUCUAUUGAUAUUGCUAACUUAAGGUUUGAAUUAAUUUUUGCAGAUGGAAAAAGCUGUUGAAAUAUUGGAUGAGAUGACACUGGCUGGCAUAACUCCAAAUGAACACACAUACACAACCAUCAUGCACGGCUAUGCUUCAUUGGGUGAUACUGGAAAAGCCUUCGAGUAUUUUUCAAAAUUGAGAAAUGAGGGCCUUGAGCUAGACGUCUAUACAUAUGAAGCUCUUCUGAAAGCAUGCUGCAAGUCUGGGAGGAUGCAAAGUGCUCUAGCUGUCACAAAAGAGAUGGCUGCUCAAAAUAUUCCGAGAAACACCUUUGUCUACAACAUUCUAAUCGAUGGGUUUGGACUUUUACUAAACUUCUUCUCUCUAAUUUACUAGAACACAGUCUUAGUAUCCUCUUUUAGCCUGCUACUAGUCUUCACUUAUUUUGAGUAUCUAUAAUAUGAAAUGACUUCCAUCUUUUGUUUUCUUUCUUUUAGAUGGGCUAGGAGAGGUGAUGUUUGGGAGGCUGCUGACUUGAUACAGCAAAUGAAACAAGAAGGGGUUCAGCCUGAUAUCCAUACUUACACAUCUUUUAUAAAUGCGUGUUGCAAAGCUGGAGACAUGCUGGUAUGUAUCUUGGGGGGAUUUUACAAACUUUAGUAAGUUUUAUAGUCCGAAUAACACUUAGAGUGAGAUUCCGUUGUCAUUCCAUUGCUAAGGUGUAUUUACCCUAAAAUGCUUUAAUUUAUAGCUAUUUUAGGAUUUAAUCCGGUCUUUUCGGAUCAAGAUGAGUUAGUCUUAGAUGUCUUUAGUUUUUCAUCUCUUAUCAUCUCAAAUAGCAUACUUGACCAUGAAUUGGGUGGACUUGUGCCUUUGUAGGCUGUGGAAGUCAGAAGACCGUGAACUCAACUUCAUUUGUGUUCAAGUGCAUUCGCGCUAGAUAGAUUGCAUGAACCUUGUUAAUUUUAUUUUUGGCAUUAUUUUCCCUAAAACGAGCUUUCGAGUAUUUCCUGUCCAUUGAUGUUAAUAUUCUUUCAGCAGUAAAUUCUUACUCUGAUAUUUGUUUUUACCAGAGAGCAACAAAAACAAUUCAAGAAAUGGAUGCUAUUGGAAUAAAGCCAAAUGUUAAAACCUAUACCACACUUAUUCAUGGAUGGGCGCGUGCUUCUCUUCCGGAGAAGGCCUUGAAAUGCUUUGAAGAGAUGAAACUGGCCGGUUUGAAACCAGAUAAAGCCGUAUAUCAUUGUUUGAUGACAUCACUUCUAUCGAGGGCUACUGUUGCAGAGGCAUAUAUUUACUCGGGAGUGUUGUCUGUCUGUCGAGAGAUGAUCGUGUCUGGUUUGACUGUCGAUAUGGGAACUGCAGUUCACUGGUCGAGGUGUUUACGUAAGAUUGAGAGGUCAGGUGGAGAGCUUACAGAAGCUCUGCAGAAGACUUUCCCUCCUGAUUGGAAUUCAUACCAUACAAUUGCUGCAAAAUCUGAUCCCGAAACAGAUGAUGAGCCUGAAAGUGAUGACGAAGAUAACGAUGUAUAUCUUGAUAAUGUGACCGAUGGUGACAAUGAUCUUGAUGAUGAAGAUUUGAACAGAUUAUGGUAAUAAAUCAUGUUUUGCUACUAUUAGUUUAUGUAUUGUCAGCCAGGUCAUAUGCCUAUCCACUAUUGUUCCUAUCUUGAAAUUUUUCUUAGCUCACAUUUUGCUUGAGUUGAGAGAAAUUUUUUUUGUCAUAAAUUUAGAAAUGAAAUCAUGAAUUAGAAAAUGAUAAUCGUUCCCUCCAUUGCAUCUUUCAAAUGGUAUUUUUGCUCUUAUGCCCUUGGGGCUAUUAUCCUUAUAAUGCCCCAUCCUAUUUCUAAUCCAAACUUUUACUCCUAAGACAUUUACUUCUCACAUUUUGAUUUUAUUGCAAAAUAGUCUAUACCUCCAAAUUUUAGUUCUUAUUCUAACCAAUUAAUGAAUAAUUACUAAUGUUUACUCAUUGAUUACGAAUUAUAAAAUCAAACGGAAACCUCAGUUUAAUCUCAAAACAUUUCGGAUUACCUAUUCCAGCCUAUCUGCCUAAGUGUGAAAUCCAUCCUAAACCUUGUCAUCCAUGUAUGCACCAAGCACUUUCUUAAGGUUUAGGGCCGUGCUUAUACUUGACACUUUUCAUUGGUAUACCACCUAUAUCUGUGCUUAUAUUUGGAUGCUCAUAUCAAUUGGUCAUUAAAGAAAUGGGUCAACAACCAUGAGUGAAAUUUGUAGCUUCUAAGCUGAUUAAGUGAGCGUUUAUGAAUAUUGAACUCACUUAUAUUAUUAUAGGAUUUCAUGCAAGUUGUAAAUCAACACUUCAAUUACAUGGCAACUAGAAAUUACGUAAAAAUUGAACCAUUUUUAAAUAUAAAGGAACCUCUAAAGAUGAAACAUGGAAUUUCUUGUUAUUGGAUGCUUGUCUAUUAGAACAUCCAUGAUCGAUGCUACAUCUUCUAAUGUUAUUGUUGCUUCGCUACAUGGGAGAUGAAACGUAUGAUUUUUGAGUUUUCAUCAUUUAAUCAGAGUGAAUAUGAAUGAUGACACAAAAAUAAUUUUCUCAAUUUGUCCAGCGUGAUAGAAACUUACUUAUGUUAAUUGAGGAAUGAUUCUUUCGUCAGGUAAAUUUAUUCUCAUAUUAAUGUGACCUUGAGCCACAAGAGAAUAAUCUAAUGUUUAUAGAUUCUGAGCAAUAUGCCUUUCUUCAUAUCUCAAUAUACGAGUAGCCAUUACAAUAUGAUUGGAAAUUAGAAUUUAGAAAUUCUUAGAUACAAAUACGAUAGUAGUAGAGGAGGAAUAAGUUUAUUUUUACUUUGAUUUUUAAUUGAAUUAAGUAAAAAAUAACAAAAUGUUUUAUUAGUAACUUAUUAUAUACCCAUUCAGUUACAUAUUCUUUUAACAUUUUUUUCCUCCUAAUGUAUCUGAACUCUGGUCCUUUAUAUUUUAAAUUUAUUUCAAAACGAUCCCUUAUUAUUCCAAUAAAAUAUGUUGUUAAUAGUUAGACCCAAUUUGACAUUUACAUUUUUUUUGUCAAAAUGCUAAAUUAAUUAACCCUUAAUCUCACCAUUAAAAAAUACCCUUUAAUUUUCGUAAAAAAAAUAAAUACCCUUUAAUGUUGGUGAUAAGUUUUAAAUUAUCAUAAAUGAUUUAACAAGAGUUUGAAAGGAAAGAGAAACUAAAUAUAGCAAUAUAUUACAUAUAUAAUUUGGAGAACAACUUUAAUAUAAAAAUUAAAACUUACAUUAACAUUAAAGUAAACUCUAACAUUAUAUAUAUAUAGUUUGGAGAAUAACAUUAAAUUUCAACUUAAAACUCACCUAUAUAGAGCAAUAACUCACCUAUAUAGUUUGGAGAACAGCACAAAUUAAAAUAAACUACACAUUCCUUAGAGGGAUAAUUAUGUAUGAUUAAAGGUUUGACAAUUGGCACACUUAAGGUUGAUUUCACAUGCCGUCACAUAUAUUAAACAAUGAGAAUGACUCAUCACAGCAAGUGAUGAUUCUUUUGAUAUUGUGUUGUUGAAUUCAACUUCUUCACCAAAAGAAUCUUAUUGAUUUAGAAGCAUGCGUGACGUUACUCGAAGAAUCUUAACAAAAGAAGAAAAAAGGGUUAAAAACUGUUAAAUUUGACAUGAAUAAUCUACUAUGUAAAGAAUACAUAUAUGAGGAAUUUAAAUUGGCUAAUAGUUUAGCUCAUUAUGCUUUGCACUUUGAUUAAUGUUAGAGCAGUUCUUCAUAGUGUCAUUAGCACUAGAGAUAGGAGAAGUAUUGCUAGAUUGAACAUCAUCCAUAGAACUCUUGCUUAAUUUUAGAGAUUUCAGUGAUAUUAGAGAUUUCAGAGGCCACUGAUUAGAUUUAGGGAAAAAUAAUAGACUCUUUCAACUUUGUUUACUCUCAAUUUGUAGAGAAUUGGGCAGUGAGAUGACAUGGUUUUAUAGAUAAUAAUAAUAAUAAUAAUAAUAAUAAUAAUAAUAAUAAUAAUAGGGGUUAUUUGGUACACAAGUUACUCCAGAAGUGAGGUUAAGAUUUUGAUACAUGUCAUAUUUAUUCAUUUCUAGAAUUUUUAAAUACAACUUAAGUGCACAUGAUAAAAUCUCAACUCGGUUUGUGGAGUAAAAAUUUCCACCGGCAAUGUAUCAAAUAAUAAUAAUCAAGUUUAGUUCAAAAUUAAAAAUUUCUCAUAAAAAGAUUUUGAGAAUUUUCAAGUAGAAGUAAAUAAAAAAAAAACGAGCUUCAUUAAAGCAACUAUGGAAUUUAUAUUAGAUUAUAACACACCGACUUCAACAAGCAAAAAAAGUUAAUAAUUUUCUUGACAAAUGUGAGAUUAUUUAGGAAAAAAAAAGUUUAUAUUUAAUACACUAUCAAUAUAUAAAUUUGGGUGAAUACUUAGAACACUUGCGGUGCACUUUUUAAUUCCACAACCAGUGCAACCAAAAAUUGGCUACGAAACUGCCAAAUAGAUGCAGUCGACAAGAAGGCUGCAGUGCUGCUCAAGGCAGUGGUUGAAAUGGUGGAAUUCGAUUUAGGCGAAUUUGUCAAGCAUACUGAAAAGGUCCAUGGAAAAUACUUACUACCAUCUCCUUCCCUCGUUAAGUAGAACCCAAGGCUCAUUAGAGACACUAAGCAUAUUGAGAGAACUAUUGUUGAAUUGAAGUUCUCACCAAAAUGGCUCGAGGGAAAACACACUACCACUGACCCCAAAAUGCAACUAGAUGAAAUUGAGGAAGCAGAACAUUGAGAAUUAAACAACACUUAUCAUUCUAAUACUUUUUAACUAAUAAUUGUAAAUUAAAUUAUAAUUAUCAUAACUUUAGACAUCACAAAUCUGCAAAUCAAAAUUCAAACAGUUUUUUUUCCAAUCUCUGACACUCACCAUUAAAUCAACUUGGAUCUAGAGUAUAUUCUUCUACUCGUCGAUAAGUAUUGAUUCAUCGUACCGGUCGUUGAAUUGUCGCUUGGAAUUCAUUGGCGAAACUUUCAAAAAAAAAAAUUUAACAGCCCAGUGACUUAAAUUAAAACUUCUGAAUAGUUCAAUGACUUAAACUUUUUAAAAUUAAGUAACCAAAACGAAAAAUUACCUAUAGAUUAAUGACUAAUAGUAUAGUUUACCCAUUUUUAAAAUAGUUUUCCUUUGGUUUUUAAUUGAAUUAAGUAAAAACUAACAAAAUAUUUUAUUAGUAACUUAUUAGACACCCAAUGAGUUACAUAUUUUUUAACAUUUUUUCCUCCUAAUGUAUUUGGACUCUGGUCCUUUUUAUUUUAAAUUUAUUUUAAAAUGAUCCCUUAAUUUAACAAGAGUUUAGAAGGAAAGAGAAAAUACAUAGAGUAAUAUAUUGCAUUAAAAGAAACCAAACUACAUAUAUAGUUUGGACAACAACAUUAAACUUAACUUAAACUUAAAACCUAAAACAGCAAUAACUUAUGCAUAACAACAUUAAAAUUAAAAUUAAAGCCUAAGAGAGCAACAUCUUGCCUAUAUAGUUUGGAGGACAACAUUAAAAUUAAAAUAAACUAAACAUGCUUUGGUUUCUUGGGGGGAUUAUAAUGAAGUACAUCAAUAAGAUGAUCAGGGGUUUGGCAAUUGACACACUUAGGGUUGGUUUCACUUGUCAGCACAAAUACUAAACAACGGGUACAACCCAUCGCAACAAGUGGCGGUUCCUCCGGUGUUGCGUUGCUGAACUCAACUUCUUCACCAGAAGAGUCUUGUUGAUUCAGAAGCAUGCGUGACGUUUCCGAUAGCGAUGUUGAUGAGAUCUCCGAAGAUCGGUUAGUAGAUAAACGAUCUUUUGGGGGUUGACCUGUCGGAGUUAGCUCAACAUUCAAAUCUAUGCUUCUUCCGUUUUCUUCUUCGCCAGUUUCAGUCAAACUUCUCUUCCGAGCAACUCCCUGACGAGGUUCCUUAAAAAAAGAAAAAAAAAACACGGAAACAUAAAAAGUUGAUAAAUUGAAAUGAAUUUCUUUAUUAAGAGUAUCGUCAAAUUUCACUGGAUUUCAAUCAUUUACUCAGACUUCUCGAAGAAUCUUAACAAAAGAAGAAAGAGGGUUAAAAAUUGAUAAAUUGGACAUGAAUAAUCUACUAUAUAAAGAAUACAUAUAUAAGAAAUUUAAAUCGGCUAAUAGUUUACCUCAUUAUGCUUUGCACUUCGGUUAAUGUUAGAGCAAUUCUUCACAGUGACAUUAGCACUAGAGAUGAGAGAAGUAUUGCUAGAUCUAACAUCAUCCAUAGGACUCUCUUGCUUAAUUUCAGAGAUUUCAGAGGCCAUUGAUUGAAAUUAGAAAAGAAUAAUAGACUCUUUCAACUUUGAUUACUCACAAUUUAUAGAGAAUUGAGUAGUGAGAGGACAUAGUUUUAUAGAGAACAAUGAGUAGGUAAUAAUAAUAAUAAUAAUAAUAAUAAUAAUAAUAAUAAUAAUAAUAAUAAUAAGGGUAAUUAUUUUGUACAGCGACGAAGAUUUGUAACGCAUAAGUAAGGUUGAGAUUUUGACAUCUCUUAUUUUUUUUAAAAUUUUUUAAAUGCAAUUUAAGUACAGAGGCAAAAUUUCAAUAUUGUGAAGUUAAAAUUUUUCAUCGUCAAUGUACCAAAUAAUUAUAGUAAUCAAGUUUAUAGUUCAAAAUUGUAAAUUUCCCAUAAAAGUUUUUUUUUUGGAAUUUGCAAGUAAAAGUAAAUAAGAAAAGGAGUUCCAUUAAAAAUAACUAUGAAAUUUAUAUUAGAUUAUAAUACACCAACUUUGGCAAAGAAAAAAAAUUAAUGAAUUUUUUUUAACAAAUGUGAGAAAAUUUUUGUAUUUAAUAUACAUUAAUAAAUAAAUUUAUACACCCAAUUUUUAAGCACAUGAUGACAUCUUUAAAAUAUCCUUAACACCUCAUUGAAAAAACACCUUCAAAAUAAAUACAAAUAGUUAAACUUUUAAUAGGUGACAUUAUGUAGUUAAUUUUUUCGUGUAUAUAUUUUGGAUUAGUAUUUGGUAUACUAGCAUUGUAUUUUUUUAUUUUACAAGCAGUUUUUAAAAAUUAUCACGUGUCUUUUUAAAACAUUUCUUUUUAAUAUUUUAUUAUGCAUCUAUAGGACACUUGUCAACCCUCUAAUUUUACUUGUGGAGUCUAGAAACUCCACUGACAAUAUACUAAAUAUUUUCCCAUAUAUUUAUACACUAACAAUAUAUUAAAUCUAUACUACUAUAAUGUUUCUAAGUGUAUUGGUUUGAUAAAAUAAUCAGACACUAACCUAGUUAGAAAAAAAAACUGUAAAUUAUUUUAUAAAAAAGAAAAUAAAUAUUAUUAUUGAUAUUUUUAAAUUUUCAUAUUUUUACAUAAAAUCCUUAAAUAAAAAAAAACUACUUAAAAUUUCCAAAAGUUCAAAAAUUGAACUCGCAAUUAUAAAAUUAUAUUGUUUGUUUAAAUAUUUUACUUCCAACUACAUCGUGAAUGUGACAUAUCUCUUUGUUAUAGAGAUUAGGUCAAAUUAGUACCUCUAUUAUUAAAUAGAUAUCAAUUGAAUCGUUGUACUUUUAAAAAGGAUAAAAUAAUGUCAAAUUAUAACAGAGUUAACAUUUACUAUGUAAAAACUAAUAUGAAAAAUAUUCAUUUCAUUUGUAGUUUAACUCCGCAAAAACAUAAAAGAGCUUUUAAAAUAAAACUUUGUUAAACAAUUCAAUGACUAAAUUAAUUUAUUUAAUAAUGGAGGGAUUAAUUUGAUAAGUCUUUAUAGUAAAAGAAUGUUCACCCAUAUGUGAUUUUUUCUAUCUUUUAAAAUAAAAUUACGAUAUCGAUUCGAUUCAUGAGAUUAGUUUAAUCAAAACAAAUUAUAUAAAGUAUUAGUAUAAUUGACAAAAGCAGAGAUCUCAGAUCUUAAAGGUCCGACUUCAAGCCUCCCAUCAGCAAUUAUAAUGUGUGAGUCUCCAUCCCCCUCCCACCAUCUACAAUUAUACCGUGUGGAUCUCCCUUCCACAUUGUGCAUAUGCCUUAUAUGAGUUUUGUCUAAAUAUUCAUCAGUUAUAUAUUAUAUUGAUUGAAUUUUACAUUAUAAUUGAUCGUUAUUUUUAUACUUGUAAUUUAAAAAAAUUAUACAUGAGAAGAAAGGGAAUAGAAACUGAAACAAUAUAAAGGGGACACGUGUGAAAUGAAAUCAGAGGUUUUUAUUAGCAUUAAUGUAUUUAAGGAAAAAUCCAAAAGGGAAUAUAUUAGUAACCGUUGUAAUUACACAAAGCGACAGAAAAACAGCAAAUUCCCAUUUGUGAAGGAUUAACGUCUUCUUUCCCCACCGUCACAAUGCCUUACUAUUCAAUGGACUGCAUUUAUUCUUUUUAAAAGGAAAGCGUUUCAAUCUUAUUACUAAAAAUUAAAAUAAAGAAAUUGAAAAAAAACUUAAGAGAUUACAAAUAAAUAAAAUUUUUGAAAAAUCAAAAUAUAAAUUUAUUAUUAUACUAAUUAAUAAUUUUCUAAAAAUUAAAGGACUACGUAAGUUAAAAAUUAAAGUUGUCCCUUUGCUAUCCCUCUAUCCCUAAUUAUUCAGGUGAAGUUCAAAUUUGAGAUAUUAAAGUUUCGAGAAUUUUAUAAUUAUAUACUUUUUAAAUAAUUUUUAAAUUUUAAAAAUAUUAGUUAAUUAUUGACGUGCAAAACUAACAAACGUUAACUUAAACCUAAAAUCAAAAUAUUUUCAAAUUUUAAAUCCAAUAUAAAUUUGAUGUAAUUUCCUUUUCUGGUCAAAAAAUAUUUAAACUGCAUAAUAAUUGAGCUUUUACUUUCUUUCCUAAUUAGCAGUUACCAUAAUAAAUACAUCUACACAGAACCAUUAAUUCAGUGCAACUUUUUUACUUUAUUUAGGCAUUAUCAUUCAUUUUUCUUCAUUUUCAUCACAAAUAAUUUACCAGUUUAUUUAUAAUUAGGAGAAUAAUGUGUUUUAAUGCAUUUAAAUCCAUAUCUUCCUACAUUGACAAUAAUACAUACACUAAUUGGGCUAAAACUAUAAUUGAGUUGCAACUUGAACCCAGCCCAUACCUAAAGCGUUGAACACCCUAACCAUCAAAUCAAUACAUGAGUUUGAUACUCAUUCAAUUUCAGUUACAAUAUAAUAAUAUUUAUAUUAAAUGACUUUAAAUGUGAUUUUAAUAAUGUGAUUCUCUCAUUAAUUACGAUUACAGUUACAACUUUUUAUUUGCAAUAAAUUAUUUACUAUAAUUGCUGUAAAACAUUUUGUUUUUAUUUCAACUUAGGUUAAAUCUCUUCAAUGAAUUUAAAAUUUGAAAUAAAUUUUUGUGGAUUGCAAAUCCUAAUUUUUUUCUAAAUAAUGCUUCUUGUUCAUUUUUUUAACUUUUAAUUUGAGAUUUUUCUUUUAAUUUGAGUUAAUGUAUAUUAAUAUUAUAACAAUAGUCCUUUUAAUUACUAUUUUUUUUCUAAUAUUAGCUUAUUUUCUUUUAUUGAGAUAUUAAUUCAUUUAUACGUUAUUUUUUUCCGCAUCAUUUUGAAAAAAAUUUGGAAAAGGGUGUUAUAAUCAAUGACGAAGUCAAGGGAGUUGGAGGGCCAUGCUUCCCUAAAUUAGAAAAUUUUCUAUUUAGACUCCUUUAUAAUUUAUAAAAAUUUAAAUUAGUAUUGAUAAAAUUACAUUUUAGCCUCUCAAAAUGAUAAAAAUUUGAUUUAAUCCUUUAAAAUUAUAAAGAUAUAGACUAUUAAAAUGGUGAAAUUACAUUUUUACUACGGUAAAAAUAUACAAUUUAAUUUUACCCUAAAAAAAAUAUCUAACUUUGCCCUCGAUUAUAAUGAAAAUUUCUUUGUUUUUUUUUUUUAAAUUUCAUUUCACGCUUAAAUGUUUCUUUUUUUUUUAAUAUUGAAAUAUUUAGAGUUUAAAUUAUUUUUAUUUUUAUUUUUAUUCAUAUUAGCUUUCUAAUAACAAAUUUUCAUUCGGUUUAAAUAGUGUGACCAUUAAUAUAGAAUAUUUAAUUUGUCGACUGAGUUUUAAUUCGGUCGGUAUUAAUAUUAUUUUUAGUAUUGAUAGAUUUGGGUUCAAGGGUUAUGGGUGAUUCUAUCAAAACUACAUCAAUAUAUAUAUUCACAUAAAAUAGGGAUAAAUAUCAAAAUUGUACAUGAAUUUUGGUCUAAUGUGUAAUGUUAUACAUAAACUUUGAUUUCGUUCAAUUUUAAACAUGAAAUUUUAAUUUGAUUCAGUUUUCAUAAAUCAUCAGCACCAUUAUUGAUGUAACACAAUUGUACAUUUAUAUGUUACAUACACAAAUAAUUAUAUUUAUUCAAUGUAAAAGUAAAUUGAUGUAUUUAUUUCUUUAAAUUUGUAUAAUUGAAUAAAAAAUUAAAAUUUCAAGUAUACAUUUAAACCGCAAUUAAAUAUUCAUGUGUAUAAUUACAUUAAAUCAAAGUUGAUAUAUCAAAUGGCGCAUUAAAUCAAAAUUUAUGAACAAUUUUGAGUUUUAUCCCAAUAAAAUAUCACAAUAGCUAGAAUAUAAUAUUUACUUACAUGAUUUUAAGUAGAUAGGAUUAGUUUAAACAAUCCUUUCAAAAAAAAAAAUAGUUUGAACGUUUUUGUACGAGUUAUUAUUUAUCUAUACUUAUAUUAAGUCCUUAAUUGAAUUGGUAUCAUAAAUCAAUCGGACACCAAUUCAGUUGGGAUAUCACUAAAAGAUUUACAAAUAUCAAACGAAUGAUAUUAAAUAAAUUUCAAAUAUGAAAUAUUCAUGCACCAACUGAUGCACAAUAUUUUGAUAAAAUUUUUUAUUAUUUAUUGCCAUUAUGGUAAAAAGUUAGAAAUUUUAUAUAUUUUUUAAUAUUAUUCAUGCAUUAGUUGGAGCACAAUGUUCGGGCUAGUGCAAGCCCAAUUAGACGAAAUGGAUUGGAAUUUUAACUGGUGUGAAAAAGGGAGUUGGUUGCACCAGUUUAUUAUUAGAACGAUACACAGACCAGAAAGAUUACAUUGAUUUAAACUCAAGUCACAUUAAUAUCAAACUUUUAAUUUUAUCAUUUCAAUCAAAGCGACAUUUAUUUUUUAAAUGAAUUUUUAUUAUAUAUAUUUGUUACAUAAUUUUUUUCCAUGAAUAUACUAUAAAUUUAGUAAUUAUAAUUAUUUUAUUGUUACGCACUUAAUUAGUAUCAAUUUAAUUGUUAUCUUAUAGAAUUUUGUUUUUAAUGUAAGUCUUAAUUCUGCUUAUAUGCAUCUAUACUAUUUUGGUUGAGUUAAUGUCACGAGUCAACCGAACACAAAUUCGAUUGAGAAAUGACUAAAUUACUCAUUCUUUUUACAAAGUAAUAAAUAUAAUUAUUAUGGUGUUUUUACCUUUUCUAUAUUAAAUAAAUCUAUAAAAAGAACCAAUUUUCAUUUUAUUAUCUAUGGAAGAAUUGAAAAUUAGAUUAAAAUUGUACGCACAAAUUUCAAGACAAAAUUAAGAUUUGAAAAUUAGGAAAAUAAAAAAAAUUUAUAAAAUUUUAGUUGAAUAAAUCCUUUGAUACUUCUCUACAAUGAAGUUUUGAUCCAAGGGUUAUUUAGACUUAAUUUUGGAUAGAUGCAAUCAACUUUAUAGGUCGUCAAGAUUUGAUAUUGAGAAUGGUUUGGAGGGUUAUUUGCUUGAGAUUGCUUGAGAAUUGAUCUAAAGGUCUUUGAGAUCUAAUCUUGGGUCGAUGGGGUUUGCUUUAAGGGACGUCAAGGCUUGAUUUUAAAGAACGAGUUUGACCUCUUUUGUGUUUGUUAUAUUAUACGUCGAUAAUGACAGUAGGAAUGAUUGCAAAGCAAUAAGAAAGAAAAAUAAGAACACGUAGAUUUUACGUGGAAAACUGUUAUCGAAAAAAAUAACGAGCAGAGGAGGAGAAAUUCACUAAUGUUGAAAAACAACAAUACAAGAGUUUUUUCACUACACACAUUUGAAGGGUUAAACAACCUUAUUAUAAUCAAUGUCUAAUAGAAGAAGUGUAAUCCUAUAUGAAUUCAACUUGUGCAUCAUGGCCUAGUUGAGUUUAGUGGUGGAUGGGGAUUUGUGGCGGGCUACGGCCUCGGUCCUUCUCCCCCACAGAUCCCCUAUUUUGCCUUUCUAUUUUAUUUCUUUAAUAAGUGAGUUGUACCUCAAACUUUCCAACCCGAAUCAAGCGGGAUUCAGGUCACACAACUCUAACAAUGUUGAUACAAUCAAAUUAGGAGAGCUUUGAUCCAAGGAUCUUCAAGACUUGAUAUUAGAUUAAUGAUUCCAUAUCAAGGACGUUCUAGACUUGAUCUUGAAGAACGAGUUUAGUCCCAUGUUUUUUAACUAAAUACGAUCAAAAGGCCAAUUUUUUAGAAUUGAAGCGGUGUUCUUCAAAUUUUAUUCAAGUUUCUUAAUUUUUUAUGAUUUUGGAGAAAGCUUUUAGGUUGCAUUUGUUUUAUUGAAAACAACUUUUCGAAAAUGAUUUAUAGAAAAUGGAUUGACUUUUUAGAAAAGUUGAUACUUUCUAGUGUUUGGAUAAUUCUACCUAAACUAUUUUAUGUUAUUUGACAAAUUUUCUUAAAUCAUUUUCUAAAAGUUAUUUUUUAAUAAAAGGCUAAAGGGGUAAAUAAGCCCCUGAACUUUGGCGAAAAAAACAAUUAAGCCCCUUGCAAAACACACAUUCAAUUAAGCCUUCAAACUCUCAAACUGCAUCAAUUAAGCCCAUUAACCAAUGUUUUUCAUCUUUGACGGUUACAACGCUGAUGUGCCGUUACAUGUCAUAAAUAGUUGUUGACGUGGUGAUGACACAUCAGCAAAAAUAAAAGAAAAUUCAAUUUUUUUUGUAAAAAAUAAAAGAAAUAUUUAAUUUUUUUUACUAGAAUGAAGUGGAUAAGGAAUGAGACUGGACAAAUAUAUUAUUUAUUUAUUUAUUUAGAGAUAAAUAACAAUAAAACAAGAACAUAAAUUGUUUACUUUAAAAAGUGAGCAAAUCUUAAAACUUAAAUUGCUUUCAAUGCCAAAAACUUUUUGCAUCUUGGAAUCAAUGGCAAAGCUAGGCAGGCUGGUAGGGGCCGACUCUCCUAAAAUAGAAAGUUUUUUAUUAGACUCAUUUAUAAUUUAUAAAAUUUUAAAUUAGUAAUGGUAAAAAUUAUAUUUUAUCCCCAAAAUGAUAAAAUUUUGAUUUAAUCCUUUAAAAUUAUAAAGAUAUAGGCUAUUAAAAUGAUGAAAUUACAUUUUUACUAUUAUAAAAUACAAUUUAAUUCCACCGCCCCAAAAAAUAAAAUUCUAACUUCGCUCCUGCUUUGAAUUGUCUUGACAAUAUUUGAAAGUUUCGAAAGUCGCCAUCAAGAAUUUUAUUUUUCACUUGGACAAAAUUAAAAUUGUAACCAAGUUGUCAAUGUACCUUCGUUUUCUAAAGGGAUCAAGUUAUGUUAUAGUUCAAUUCUUUUUUUAAUUUGUCAAUUUAAUCCUACACUUAGGAGUGAUACAACAAUUUAAGUUUAGAUAACAAAAUUAAAAUUAAAACUUAAGAGAUAAUUUAGAGAACAACAUUAAAAUUAAAAUUAAAAUUAAAACAUACAUUAAGAUUAAAAGAAACCAAACAUUAAAUAUAUAGUUUGGACAACAAAAUUAAACUUAAAACCUAAAACAACACUUAAAAUUAAAGCCUAAUAAAGCAACAUCUUGCUUAUAGAGGACAACAUUAAAAUUAAAAUAAACUAAACAUUCCUUGGUUUCUUAGGGGGGUUAUCAUGAAUUACAUCAACAAGAUAAUCAGAGGUUCGGCAUUUGGCACACUUAGGGUUAAUUUCACAUGCCAUCACAUACAUAAAACAACGAGAACAACCCAUCACAACAAGUGACGGUUCCUCCGAUGUUGUGUUGCUGAACUCACCUUCUUCACCAGAAGAAUCUUGUUGAUUCGGAAGCAUGCGUGACGUUGCCAUUGGUGAUGUCGAUGAGGUAUCCAAACAUUGGUUAGUAGAUAAACAAUCUUCCGGGGGUGAAUCUAUCAGAGUUAAUUCAAGAUUCAAAUCUAUGUUUCUUCCAUUUUCUUCUUCGCCAGUUUCAGUCAAACUUCUCUUUUCAUAAGUUCCCUGACGAUAUUCCUUAAAAAAGACAAAAAAAAAACACACAGAAACAUAAAAAGUUGAUAAAUUGAAAUGAAUUUCUUCAUUAAGAGUAUCGUCAGAUUUCGUCGAAUUUUAACCAUUUAUUCGGCCUUGCAUGGACUUACUUGGAAAAUCUUAACGAAAUAAGAAAAAGGGUUAAAAAUUGAUAAAUUUGACAUGAAUAAUCUACUAUAUAAAGAAUACAUAUAUUAUGAGGAAUUUAAAUUGGCUAAUAGUUUACCUCAUUAUGAUUUGCACUUUGAUUAAUGUUAGAGCAAUUCUUCAUAGUGUCAUUAGCACUAGAGAUGAGAGAAGAAUUGCUAGAUCUAACAUCAUCUAUAGAACUCUCUUCCAUAAUUUCAGAAAUUUUAGUGAUACCGGAGAUUUCAGAGGCCAUUGAUUGAAAUUAGAGAGGAAUAAUGGACUCUUUCAACUUUGUUUACUCUCGAUUUAUAGAGAAUUGGCUAGUGAGACUGUGAGAGGACAUGGUUUUAUAGAGAACAAUGAGUAGGUAAUAAUAAUAAUAAUAAUAAUAGAUUAUUUGGUACCUAAGUGUUAAAAACUUUUAACAAGUGAGGUUGAGAUUUUGGCAAAUAUCGUAUUUAUUUAUUUUUAAUUUUUUAAAUGUAGCUUAAGGACAUAUGGUAAAAUCUCAACUUCCCUUGUGGAGUUAAAAAUUUCCAUUACCAAUGUACAAAUAAUAAUAAGUUUAGUUCAAAAUUGAAAAUUUCCCAUAAAAUAAUUUUGAGAAUUUCUAGGUAAAAGUGAAUAAAAAAAAGUUUCAUUAAGACAACUAAGUAAUUUGUAUUAAAUUAUGAAACACCGAAUUUGGUAAAGGAAAAAAAACAAUUUUUUACUAUACUCUAUAUAUACUUGUCAUUAGCUCAACCAUUUGAGGAAGCAAUAUAAUGUUUAGAACUAUUUCUAGCUUUUUCCCAAAGCAUAAAUAGGAGAAUAAUGUGUUUCAGCGUACUCGAAUCCAUGUCCUUUUUUAUUGGCAACAAUGUUCGUGCCACUCGAAUUAAGACUCAAUCAACCAUUAUAAUAAUAUUUUUGAAUUUUCAUAUUUUUAUAUAAAAUCUUUAAAUAAAAAAAUAAAAAAACUACUUAAAGUAACCAAAAGUUCAAGAACUGAACUCACAAUUAAUGGAAUAGUUGAGACCUUGGACAAAACAACUUCAAUCACCACCAAAAACGUCCACUUUUCUUUUCUUGCUAAAGGAAACAUUCUUGCAUCAUCCUUAUUCACUAUUUAUGCUGCUCUUUAUGUCAUUGCAACCAAAAAUUGACUACCAAACAGUAAAAUAGAUGCAGUCAACAAGACGACUACGGUGCUACUCAAGGAAGUGGUUGAAAUGGUGGAAUUCGACUUAGGCCCUAUUGUUGAUGAAGAAAUUGUCAUGCAUACUGAAAAGGUCCAUGGAUGAUAGUUACUACCAUUUCCUUUCCUCAUCUUUCAAGUACUAUAUAAAGUCGAAUCCAAGGCUCGUUAGAGCCACUGAGCAUAUUAAGAGCACUAUUGCUGAAUUGAAGUUCUCUCCAAAAUGGCUUGAGGGAGAACACACUACCACUGACACUGAAAAGCUACUUUGAUGAAAUUUAGGAAGCAAAAACUACAGAUGAACCAGUUCAAGGGGCUCCUGAAUUGCCCACUACAACAAGCACUGCGUCCAAUCCUGCUGGUUUCAACAAGAUGAUGGUUCAUCAUCUCACUUGUUCCAUUGGCUCACACAAUCGCAUUAUUGCAAAGCUUCGAGUAGAUUUUUGCUCUUGUUUCUAUUUUUCUUUUGAACUCUAGUACUCAUGAACUUCGAACUUUUAUAAUGUUUGGAUGAUUUACUUUGGUGCAAAUUUUCUUAUCCGCAUCUUACUUAAAUAUAGUUAUAUGAUUAUUGAUCCAAAAUUUAGGCAAAGCAUUAAAAUGUUCUAAAUUAAGUUUUGUUGGAUUAAGGAUUCUACUAAAGCGGAGCCAUAGAUUUUUUGUUGAUUAACUUCGUGUCUUGUUUGGUUUUGUUCAAAAACUUAUCAAAGGGGAGAUUGUUGAAGCAAGUUUUUGAAGUGGUUCUAUGUGCCAAUGGAAGUUCCCACUUAUCAUGCUUGAAAGUUGGCAAUUUUUGAAACAAAAUCUUUGGGCUAUAUUCAAUGCUAAUAAUAUGAAAUAUUCAAGUCUAUCAAUGAAGAUCAACCAUUUAGAUAAACACAUCUUGAAGGUCAAACCGGAUCAAGCAAUCAGAUCCCUUGGAUUGUGGGGAACGGAUCGAGAUAUCAUUAAGACAUAUUUCUAAAUUGUCCCAUUUACUUUGGUAUUUAUUUGUAUAUAGUAUUUUUUUUAUUUUAUAAAUGUUGCUCUAUAAUUUUUGUACUAAGUAUUGAUGGCACUUAUGUUAUAGAGGAACAUUUUGGUGAGAGUGCAUUUGAGUUGUAAAUCCAGGUUGUCGUUUAGUUUUACAACAUAAGUUCUCGAGGAGAGAAUUUAAAGGUGACAGAUCAAGUCUUUAGAUGAAAAAGUGAGGUUGUUAUAAUAAGGUUUGAUAGGACUUAGAUCACCUGUUGCAUUGAGAUUAAAGACAAUGGAUGAGCUAGGCUUCAUAGACGUUGGGAAAUCAAAUUUUGUAAACAAUCACUGUCAUUUGUUUUUCUUGUGUUUUACGUGGUGUCAUCAUAAUUAGUGCCCAAUUCCAUUGUCACUUUCAUUCUAAUACUCUGUUUUUCUUACCAAUUAUCAACUAUUCGAUUCAACACAACAUUUUAAAUGCUUCAAGAAUUUUCAUAUAAAUUGCACUAUCACGAGCUAUAUAAAUAGACUAUAACAACAUCCAUAGAUAUAAAUUUAAUUUUCCCCAUAUUACUAAACUAAUAAGAUUUCUAAUCGUAAUAUAUACAUUAUAGGAGAAUGUGUCUUGCCAUAAUCAAUACUAGGCCUUUUCGAAAAGCCUUGUGUAACUAAUUGUGAUUUAUAUAUCUUACAAUUUCAUUUUUCUAAUUUCAUUUCACACAGAUACACAUUUAUUCCCAAUAAUUUUUACUCUUUCAACUAUUCAAAAUAUUGAUAGAAAUAACUUCAUGCUCUAAAAGUGAAUUUAAUUAUGCUUGAAUUGUUUCUUUUCAUUUCACCAAUCAUAUCUAUGUCUACACUCUUCAAUAGAUUUAAGUUCAAGAUCCACGGUGUUUUCCAUUAUUUCAACAGAAACAUUAUAUGAAAAAACAUUAUUAGCAACUGUUUCAUUUUGGUUUCAUCUUUUUCUUCAUAAUAACAUAAUUUAUCGAGAUCUCUUCGUUUUCAUUAUUUUCAACUACUCAUGUCCCUUAUGGGGUGCUAUCAUUAGUUAUAUCUUGGACCUCUUCAUAAUUACUCAUUUUUAUAAUAUGACCAUCUUAAAUAAUAUAUCUUUAAUUAUUUUUACCUAUCAUUAAUAAUUAAUGAUAAUUUCUCUUACUUAAUUAAAGGUAUUUAAUUUUUUAUUUUUUUGACACAAUGCCUAAAACUAUCCAUAGUCUCUUCCCAACCCAUAAAUAAGAGGAUAAUGUGCGCACUCAAACCCACAUCCUCCUACAUUGACAACAAUAUUCAUGUCAAUUAUUAAGUUAAAACUUAAUCAACUCUUACAAUAUUAUUUUAAAUUCAGUUACACUAUAAUAAUAUCUUACAUUAAAUUACUUUAAGGAUUCUCUCAUAUUAAUUACCUUAACAGUUACAACUUUUUUUUUACUAAAGUUGGGGUUGUUGAGUUGUAACAAGUUUGUUGUUAUCUAACUAAAGUUGGGGUUGUUGAGUUGUAACAAGUUUGUUGUUAUAAAACUCUUUAUUUUCAAUAAAUUUUUGGGUUUGAGACUAUUUUUUAUUUGAGUUUGUCUAUAUCAAUAUUAAAAUAAUAUUUCCGGGGUAAAAUCAGAAAAAUUUUUAGGAGAAACUUUUAAUAUAGUAAAAAUAUAAUUUUAUUAUUUUAAUAGUCUAUAUCUUUAUAAUUUUAAAAAGAUUAAAUUAAACUUUUAUCAUUUUAGCAGCCAAAAUGCAAAUCCUAAAUCUUCCUUUCAAUUACUAUUUUUACUUUUUUUUCCCCAAUAUUAGCUCAUUUUAUUUUAUUGAGAUAUUAACUCAUUUACAUAUUAUUCUUUUCACAUUAUUUUGACUAAAAAUUAGAAAACACGUUAUAAUCAUUUCUUUAUUUUUUGGGUUUUUAUUUUCAGGUAAUUUUUAAAAAUUCACAUAAUAAUUAAUGAAUUAAUGAAUAUACCUUUAAAAAAAUUUACAUAAUAAUUGAAUUUGAGUGUAACUAAUUUUUAUUACACGGAUUACACAGAUAUAAUAUAUUUGAGUAACUAUUAUAAUGGGUGAGUUCCACUGAACUGAAUUUAUACUUUCUCAUUCUGACGAGAAUUAGCGGUAAUUAUGCCAAUAAUUAGAAGCAAUUACCUGUUAUCCUAUGGCUUUCCAAACACACAUAUAUAAUUUAAGUUUAAGAAAAUAAUUUUUAUACAAGUUUAUAAAAGUUAUUUUUAUACAAUAAUAAAAAAAUUUAAUUUUAAGAUAUAUAUUUUUAAAAAUACAAUUAUAUAUUUAUUAUUAGAUAAAAACGUUGGAGUGCAAGUCUUGAUACUUGGGUGUCCAAGUAUCGAUAUAAAAUGAUGAAUGAGUCUCAAGAUUUAUUCAUUUAGUCUUGAGACUUAUGCCUAGAAAUAGAGAAAAUUACAUUUUAACUCAUGCAAUCAUACUUGUAAUGUACACUAACAUGAUAUGUAAUGAAUAAUAUUUAUAAAAAAUAAUAUAAAAACAAAUAAAAUUUUAAUUAAAAUUAUAAAAUAAAGAUAUUAAGAAUCAUAAUAUUUUAAGUUCAAAUAAUUUAUGUGUAUUUUUUUAUUUUUUAUAUAAAAUAUGUAAAAAAAUAAAAUACUUUCAAAAUAAUAUAAUAAAGUAACAAUAUUUUAACCAUUACUCAAUUAAAUUAAUUAAUGUAAAAUUAACUCAUAAUACAAACUCAAAUAUAAUCCCACAAGAAAAAUUCGUGGAAUUUGUAUAAACUCACUAUCAAUCAUUAUCCAAGCUAUUUCUUUUUCGUAAUUUCUUUUUUUUCUUUUUUAAUAAAUUAAAUAAAGAAUAAACUACGUUCACUCUAAAUUUUGUUCGUAAAUUUAAUUAUUUUAAUUAAGAUAAUUACUUGAAUUGAUCACUAACGUUAAAAGUUUCGUUAAUUCACUAAAAGAUUGCUAACAUGAUAAUUUUUUUUUACUUUUGACUAAAGCUAGGGACUUAUCUAUAAUAAGUCAAAAACACUUUUUUUUGUUAUUUGCAACAUAAGACCAAAGUUUGUAAGUUAUUUUUCUUUUUCCUUCUUGUUUGUGUCUUGGGAAAAGUAACAAAGGGAAAUGAUGGUAGCUUUGAGUAUUUUAAAACAACCCAACCCCUCUCUCAUGGAUGACUUAUUAAAAAAUUACAAAUUAAUUAUUGAACUAUUUAAAAGAUUUCAUUUGAGUUACUGAAUUAUUAAAAUUGUUAUUGUAUGACAUUCUCUAUUCACACCGCCUACACCAAUUGAACACUUUUCUUUCCCUUCUCUUUUACAACUCAUUUUUUCAUGAAACGACUUUAAAUAUUACGAAUAUGCAAAUCAAAAUUUAAAUAGUUUUCUUCUCCGAUCUUCGACACGGACUGUCAAAUUGACUUGUAUUUAAGAUAUGUUCUUCUACUCAUCGAUGAGUAUCAAUCCACUGUACCUAUCAUCGAAUCAUAGUUUGGAGCUUACUAGUCAGACUUUUCUUAAAAAAAUAAUAAUAACCCGAUGACUUAGAUAAAAACUUUUGAAUAGUUAAAUAAUUUAAACGAAAACUUUACUUUUGAAUAUUUCAAUAAUUAUAGGUUUCAACAAGUUUCUCUUGCAUGGGUGAAGUUUUGUACAUUCAUGUAUAUAGGAUAAGUUUAGAUUGGGUUAUUUUUCUAAACUCCAAAGCUCACUCGAAAUAUAGGAGUGUUUGAAUAAAAAUAUACGACUCAAAAAGUAGGUCUGAACAAAAAUUUAAAUUUGUUUAAAAUAUAGAUCAAGCUUAGAUUUCAACAUUUAAAACUUGAGCUCAGGCCAACCCAAUCAAUUUUAUACUUUUGAAAUAUAAUUUUAUAUAUUGUAUAAUUUAUAUCACAAAAUUAAAUAUAUAAUAAAUGAAAAACAUCUAAAAUAUGAAAUAUGAAAUUAUAAAUAAUAUAUUUUUUUAAAUAAUAAUAUUAGCGGACCUAAAAUGGAUAUAGGUUAAUCAUUUAUAAAUAUAAACAAACUUUGACAAAAUUUCAUACUCACAUUUAAGUCACAUCAAUUUGAGCAAACAUAAAGCCUAAGGGGCGAACUUGGCCCCUUAAAUGAAAAUUUUCUAUUUAAGUCCUCUAUAAUACAAUAAAAUUAAACAUUUGUUUAUGAUAAUAUUACACUUUGACUCUAAAAAAUGGAGAAAAUUAUGUUUAACCCCUUAAAAAUGAUGAAUAAUAAAUUAAUACAUUAUGUUUAAUCCCUUAAAAAAUUAUUAUUCAAUUCUGACUCCUAAAAAAUAUUUUGGCUUUGCCCCUGCAUACUAUUAUCAUACAUAGACCCAACGUGAACUAACCCGACCCAUUCCACGUGGAAAACUAGGGGCGAGUGUUUGAUCUAAUCGAAUCGAAUUAUAUCGAGUGUUAAAAUUUUAAGUUAGUCGAGUUAACGAGUCCUAUUUUAUCAUCUAAAUUUAAUUUGAAUUUUUUCGAAUCAAGUGAAAUUGUUCGAGUUAAAUUGAAAAAAUAUCAAAUUAAAAUCUUGUUACAGUAUAACUAAUUUCAUGAUAGAACAAAUAAUUUAAACUGUAUAUAUUUGAAAAUUUUUUCAAAGCAUAUUUGAAUUGAUAAUUUACUUAUUUAGGUCCUCAAAUUUAUUUUUUUGAAAAAAAAUUAAAAUUAUUUAGCUUUUUUACAUAGUCUUUAGAAUUUUUUUUAAUUUUAUUAUUUUAAAAAGUUAUGAAAUAUUGGAAAGAAAAUUAUAAAUAUUUUGAAAUUUUAAAAAUUAUUUUGUAAGUUUUGUUGAAAGAGACUAAUUUGUCAAUGAUCAAAUAAUUACACAAAUUUAUUAUUUGAAUUAUUCAAAUUAUUCUAUUUGUAAACUUCAACUUGACUCGAACUCGAAAAACUAAAUGACUUAUUUAAAUUAACUUGAAAAAUCGAACUCAAUCGAUUAACUCAAAAUUUUAAAAAAUAAAUUCAAUUUUUCGAGCAAAAUCAAAUUUUGCUUACCUUGGAAAACUAGUUUAUCACUGCUUUACUUAAUUUGCUCUUCCAUUGACGUAAAAUUUCCAAUUUACGAUGAAGCAUUAAAAUAAUGAUGAUGAUCACAUGAUAAUGUACAAAAUAUAGCUCAGAAUCUAAUCAGCCUAUUUCAAGACACCAACUGUACGAUAAGUUGCUGUCUACUCGAUUACAUUAUAUUAUGAUGUAUUUAUAUUGUAUUAUAAUUAAGGGAAAAAAGGUGAGCCAAAGUUCUUACACCUUGUGAUUUGGGUCUUCUUCACUUUCUGUUGAUUCUCUGAUCAUUUCACCAUUCUUUACACCUAAAAAUCCCUCUGCUUCAGCAUCAAAGCUAGCAUGAACACUGUACAAGACAUAUACGAGUACCGCUAGACCCGAAAAGAACCCGAACCGGACAUACGACAGUCCAUCCAAAGAUCCCAACAGAAAUAUAUUCAUGAAGAUUGAUAUAGAUGGUAGCCAAGGCAUGAAAGGUACACCCCAAAAUUCGGGUUUCCGCACUUGCGGUACCGUGUGACGAAAAAUUAGUGUUAUAGCUGUGGCGAGUCCGAUACAUAGGCCGAGUAGAAAGGACUUCGAACUCCCUGAGGGUGCAAAAUGCCACGACAGGGUGAAUAGAAGGGAAGUGAGGGUCAAUAGGCAUAGGAAGGAUAAUAUUGGCCACGGCUUUGUUAUCCCGAUAACGACAUAUCGCCUGUAGAUUACGGCGUUUGCGACCAUGUAAUAGACAAAGAGUGUGCCAAUGGAUAUGAGGUUCAAGAGGAUGUUUAGAUCAGUGAAAAGGGCAAUGGCAGCUGUGAAAAUUCCUGAAAAUGAAGAGGAAUUGUGAUAAUUAACAGCAAUAAAACAUUUUUUUGAUACUAGGCCUACUUAGUAAAAGUAUUAUGGAAGCUUUUAUAUUAAGAUUUAGAUUGUAUUUAGCUAAAAACUAAUAUUUAUAUAUUAGAUCAAAAAGUAAAUUAAUUUUUUAUGUUAAAAAUUUCAUACAUUUAUACCAUUAAAAACUUGUAUGGCUGACGAAAUAACCAGUGACACAUGAUGUGUCAUGCGUAUCUCAUACCAACAUAUAAAGAUCAGUUUUUAAUAGUAGAAAUUGUUAGAAUUUUUAACAAAAGCACUAAUUUACUCUUUAAUCUAACGUGUAUAAUGAUUAAUUUACCCAUUUUUUUGAUAGAGAGGAAAUACAACCUGACUCUUAAUACAAUAACUUUUAUGAUACAUUUAUCUGCCUAUCUCUAUUAAUCUAUCUCUAACCUUUAAAUUAAAGAAAAAUACACUAAAUUCAUAUCCUCUUUAUUAAUAAAAUAACAAUAAUAUCUGUUAAGCUAGGAGUCAAUACAUAAUAAACCUUACCAUUGUUGAUGAAAAUUGAGGAGCAAGGUCAUUAUCAAAUAUCAAUAAUGGGCUAAAAAUUGAAGACUUUUAUUACCUUAACAAUUAAAGCGUAUAUACUAAUUUAGAUUCAAAAUAAACCUUAAUUUAGUUCAAAAUAGAUAUGAAACAGGUUGUGUGAAAGGCCAUGCUGAAAUUAUCAAUCAAUAAUGUAGACCCAUGUGCCUUUUUCCCCCUAAAUAGUUAUGAAAGGGCUUUGUUAAUUAUUAAUAAUUUAUUCUUUUCUAUAUUUUAAUUCAGCCAGUUCGAUUUUUUACCUGAUCCUUACAACAUAUGUUACUUAGGAUAUAGGUUUGGUGUUGUGCUUAUAUUAACUGCAGAUCGUUACAAUAUCACGUUACAAUAUCUAUUUAGCUUACUUUUUAUUUUAUGCUAUAGUAUUAUUACAAUAUCUAAUCUUAUUGUCGUCGUUAUUUUUAUAUAAACCUUUCAUUCAAAUCCACCUUAAAUUUCAAAUUCACGAAAUUUUAAAAAUAAAAUUAUAAAUAUAUAUAUUUUUUAAAAGAAUUCUUUAAGUGACUGUGAGAUAAUUAUUAUUGAAAAAAACCGGAUUUUUUAGUCAUUUCGACGUAAAAAAAAGAGAGCAAGCAUGAGCAAAAACGGUUCAAGUGGGUUCAACUGCAACGGCCGAGGCCGAACUCUAAAAUCAAUGAAAAUGCACAUAGAGCCCAAUGAACCCUCCCUCAUCGGUAACAGUGCCCUAAUGAAAAGAAAUAUAUAUUCAGUAAAUAAAAAGAAAUACGUACCGAGAAAAGCGGAGGCAUUGAGAGGCGUAGAUGUUUUAGAAUGCACCCUGGCGAACCAUGCCGGGACCACGCUUGAACGUCCAAUGACGCACAUGUACCUAGCCUGGCCCAACAUCGCCACCAGCAACGACGUGGAUAUCCCGAAACUGGCCCCCACUCCGAUCACCUUCGACACCCACUCCCACCUCCCACUGAACGCCGCCGCAAAUGGCGCCUCUACAUCGAUCUGCGUGCUUGGCAAUUAGUUGACCAAAUGAUACACAACCAAAACAUGAACAAAAAGUUAGGAAGUACUACCAUGUCGUAAGGGAGGAGCAUGGACAUGGAAGCGGCCAUGAGACAAUACAGAAUGGUGACGAUAACGACGGAGCCUGUUACUCCAAUGGGAAUGUCUUUGAUCGGGUACCUUACUUCCUCAGCCAUGGUGGAUACGGCGUCGUAUCCAAUGUAACUGAAGUAAACCAUGGCGGCACCAUUGAAGACACCGGAAGGUCCGUAGGGAAAGAAACCGGAAGGGCUGUUUGGGUUCAUUGGACGAGUGAAAUUGUUCCAAUCCCCUUUCCAAAAACCCAUUAAUACUACAAAGAUUAUGAAAAGGAUAUGUAAUGUGGUGAGUAUCAUGUUCAGUAUUGAACUUUCCCUUGUACUGUAACAGAUUAUGAGAGUGACGGUUAAUACGACGGCGACGGCCAACAAGUCAAUUUCGUUGAACCCUUUUGGGAGAGCCGCAGCUGUAAACCGCCAUUUUGCGGUGGGUAUACCGAUUGCGGCACUUAAAUAAGAGGUGAAGCCUCUAGCAACGGCGGCGUUUGACAUUACGUAUUCCAUUAUCAGAUUGGCUCCGGUUAAAAACGCUGCGAACUCACCGAAUGUGAUACGUAGGUAACUAAAGGCGCCGCCCGCGACGGGCAUAUGGACAGCGAACUCAGUGUAGCAGAAAGCGGAAAGGAGAGCACAAAGACCAGCAAUGGCGUAAGAGAUUAAGAUUGCAGGGCCAGCAUAGAGACGACUAGCUCUUCCGGUAGUGACGAAAACACCAGCUCCGACCAUACCUCCUAUUCCAAGACCAAUUAAGUCGUACCAUCGGAGGGACUUGUGCAUAUUGGAGCCGGAACGGGACUUGACCCAACUUAACUCUUCAUAUGAGGAAGAAACAGAGGGUGCCCGAUGAGCGAAACGAGAUGGAGUUUGAGCCAAGGCCCUGAGGUAAGACCGGAAAGUAGAGAAAGAGGACGGCGGGGACUCCAUUGGAAGGUGGAGGAUGAGGUUUAGCUUGUGAAGUGUAGGGAGAGUUAUGGCGUUUGGGUUGGUUGCAUUUGACGAUUUAUGGAGACAAUAGAGAAAAGAUUAAGGAGCCAGUUUUGGAGUAUUUUUCCAUUAGAAAGGUUUUAGUUUCACUUGUAGUUCCUUCCUUGUAUUCGAAUUGUCUGAUCCUUAGAAAACAUCACUCUGCAACUAAUUAAAAUAAGGAUUUCAAAAUCCAAUCCUCCUUGAAACCGAUUAUAUUCAAUUUGAUUAUUUUAACUCGAUUGAAUAAAUUGUUUUAAAAAUAUGUUAAAAAUAAAAAAAAAAAACUAAUUUAAUUAGUUUGAGUAGUCUCCAGACAUAAUUGUUGUAAGCUACAUUAAAUGCGUCAAAUAAAUUCUUGUAAUGACUAGAAACUGUGGAAAUUUUUUUUAAUUUGAACACGAUUUUCUUUCAUGGCAUAAUUUUUUUUUUUGAAAAUUAAGUCGUUUUGUGAUAUUUAUAACAAUAAAUUUUCUAAUAAAGUGCGAGACAGAUCCUAAAUGCUCAUUGCUUUCAACCGAGCGACAUUCUCCGCUAUUCUUGUACCACGAAUCGCUUCAUGUGUGGACUCGAACAAUCACGAAAUAAAAGCAGAACUAGAAAUAAUUUUCUUACUUUCACUAGAAAAGUAAAUCUCUCUCUUUAUUAUAUAAACGGGUAGAAUUGCUAUUCACGUAAAAUAAAUUUUUUUACUAUUUUAUUUUUUAGGUAGAAUAACAAUAUUGAAAACUUUUUUGUAAAUAGAUAUACUAGUGUAAUCUAUUUAAAAGUAUAGAUUGAAAAAUCUUAAUUGAAUUAGUAGAAUAUAAAUAAUAAACUAGUUCUACUAGUAGAGAAGGACGUCUAACCCUUGUUAAUUAUACUAGGAUUGUCGCUCAUCAUGCUUGUCAUGAGGGAUUUCAGGUCUCUCCAAUGUGCUUCCUAGACUUUAAUCUAACCUAAUACAUUUUUUUUACUUUCCAAAAUAAAUAUUAUUUAUUAAUUUAAUUUAAAUUAUUUUUCAAUUAAAUAAUUUUCUCAAUUCAAUUCUAAUCACGUUAAAGUUAUGACAAUUUUAUCGUAAAAGAAUCUAUAAGAAAAUAUAUUUAAUUUCUAUAUUCAACUGAUUCCCAAUGAUGAUUAAUUUUAUUUUAUUUUUGAACUUUAAUUAUUUAAUUAAAUAAUAAUUAGAAAAACUUAAAUUAAUUCUCGGGUCAUUUUCAUACUUAGUGAAAAAUACUUUCAUUUUCGAUUAAUGUAACUCAUGAUUUCUCUAACCUUAUCAUUUCUAUUCAUUUAUAUUCAUUUGCUUCUAAAUACAAUUUAUUUCUAAUUUCAAUGAGCUAGUGGAGGGAUCGAUUGGAUAUAUAUAAUUAGCGCUCAAAUUAUUUAUAAUUAAGUUUCAGUUUUUCGUCUAUUAAUUAUAAACUAAUUUAAUCACAAAAUCAUAAAUAAUUUAACAAGAACUUAGAAGGAAAGAGAAAAUAAUGAGUAAUAUAUAACAUAUAAGAAAACUAAAAUUAAAACUUAAGAGAUAAUUUGGAGAACAACAUUAAAAUUAAAAUUAAAACUUAGAAACCAAACAUUGCAUAUAUAAAUUUGGCAACAACAUUAAACUUAAACAUAAAACCUAACCUAUAUAGUUAGGAGAACAACAUUAAACUUAAAAUAAACUAAAUAUUCCUUGAUUUCUUAAGGGGACUGAGGGAGGUCGCGAAAUAAGUCGAGAAGAUGAUCAGAGGUUUUGCAAUUGGCACACUUAGGGUUGAUUUCACAUGCCAUCACAUACAUUAAACAACAAGUACAAGCCAUGACAACAAGUGACGACCCUUCUGCUCUUGAGUAGCUGAACUCAAUUUCUUCACUAGAAGAGUCUUGUUGAUUCAGAAGCAUGUGUGACGUUUUCAAUAGCGAUGCCGAUGAGAUCUCCGGACAUUGGUUAGUAGAUAAAGGAUCUUUUGGGGGCAGAUCUAUCGAAGUUAACUCAGAAUUCAAAUCUACACUUUUUCCAUUUUCUUCUCCAAUGGUUUCAGUCAAACUUAUCUUCCGAACAUCUCCUUGAAGGUAAAAGUAAACUAAAUGCACCAUUACACUCUAUUUAAAAAUAAAAUUUAAUGUUAGUGAGAAGGUAUAAAAUUAUCAUAAAUAAAUUAUCAAGAGUUAAAAAGGAAAGAGAAAAUAAUUAGAGUAAUAUAUAACAUAUAGUUUGGAGAAGAAAACUAAAAUUAAAACUUAAGAGAUAAUUUGGAGAACAACAUUAAAAUUAAAAUUAAAACUUAGAAACCAAACAUUAAAUAUAUAGUUUGGAGAACAACAUUAAACUUUAAAUCAAAGCCUAACCUAUAUAGUUAGGAGAACAACAUUAAAAUUAAAAUAAACUAAACAUUCCUUGAUUUCUUAAAGGGAUUGAGGGGGUGGCGAAAUAAAUUAAGAAAAUGAUUAGAGGUCUUGCAAUUGGCAUACUUAGGGUUGAUUUCACAUGCCAUCACAUACAUUAAACAACGAGUAUGAGCCAUCACAACAAGUGACGGUCCCUCUACUCUUGAGUAGUUGAACUCAAUUUCAUCACCAGAAGAAUCUUGUUUAUUCAGAAGCAUGCGUGACGUUUCUGAUAGCGAUGCCGAUGAGAUCUCUGGACAAAAGGAUCUUUCGAAGGCAGACCUAUCAGAGUCAACUCAAAAUUCAAAUCUAUGCUUUUUCCAUUUUCUUCUCCGACGAUUUCAGUCAAACUUGUCUUCCAAGCAUCUCCUUGACAAUAUUCCUUCAAAAAGACAAAAAAAAACCCACAAAAACAUAAAAAAAACAUAAAAAGUUGAUAAAUUGAAACAAAUUUCUUUGUUAAGAGUAUCGUCAGAUUUUGCCCGAUUUUAAUUAUUUAUUUAGGCUUGCACGGACUACUCGAAGACUCUUAACAAAAGAAGAAAAAAGGUUCAAAUUAAUAAAUUUGACAUGAAUAAUCUACCAUAUAAAGAAUACAUACAUAAGGAAUUUAAACCAACUAAUAGUUUACUCCAUUAUGCUUUGCACUUUGAUUAAUGUUAGAGCAAUUCUUCAUAGAGAUGAGAGAAGUAUUUCUAGAUCUAACAUCAUCCAUGUACAAUGCUUAAUCAGAGUCUCUAUUUAUAGGCAUAAGAAGUAUAAAAUAAGUAGAGAUCUAAUUCUAAUAACUAUUAAAAUUUAAAGUACAUUAAAAUUUUAUCUUGAUUAUGAUGGACAUCUACUUAAUAAGAUAUUCAGAACAUUUUUUUUACUUCUUUUCAACAAUUAUAUAUUUUUCAAUUGUUUUUUUUUACCAUUUUCCUUUUAUUUUUAAUUGAUUCUGAUAAAAAUAAAAAAAAACUAUUAUUAACUUAUUAUACACCCAUUCAAUUUCAUGCUUUUCUUUAACCUUUUUCCUCCUAAUGUAUCUGGACUCUGGUCCUUGUUAUUUUAAAUUUAUUUCAAAAUCAUCCCUUAUUAUUUCAAUAAAGUAUGUUGGUAAUAGUUAGAACCAAUUUGGCAUUUACAUCUUUCUUUUUUUUUUCAGAAGUCUAAAUUAUUUAACUUAUAAUCCCUCUAUAUAAAAUUAUCAUGAAUAAACAAGAGUUUGGAAGGAAGGAGAAGAUAAAUAGAGUAAUAUAUAACAUAUAGUUUGGAGAGCAAAACUAAAAUUAAAAAUUCAGAGAUAAUUAGGAGAACAACAUUAUUAUUAAAAUUAAAACUUAGAAACCAAACAUUACAUAUAUAGAUUGGACAACAACAUUAAACUUAAACUUAAAACCUAACCUAUAUAGUUAGGAGAACAACAUUAAAAUUAAAAUAAACUUAACAUUCUUUGAUUUCUUAGGGGGACUGAGGGGGGUCGCGAAAUAUAUCGAGAAGAUGUUCAGAGGUCUUGCAAUUGGCACACUUAGGGUUGACAUCACAUGCCAUCACAUACAUUAAACAACGAGUACAAGCCAUCACAACAAGUGACGGUCCCUCUGCAAUUGGGUAGUUGAACUCAAUUUCUUCACCAGAAAAGUCUUGUUGAUUCAGAAGCAUACGUGACAUUUCCGAUAGGAUCUCCGGAUAUCGGUUAGUAGAUAAAGGAUCUUUCGGGGGUAGACCUAUCGGAGUUAACUCAGAAUUCAAAUCUAUGAUUUUUCCUUUUUCUUCUCCGACGGUUUCGAUCAAACUUAUCUUCCGAGCAUCUCCUCGAUGAUAUUCCUUAAAAAAGUCCAAAAAAAGCCACAGAAACAUAAAAAGUUGAUAAAUGGAAAUGAAUUCCUUUAUUAAGAGUAUCGUCAGAUUUCACCCAAUUUUAAUCAUUUAUUUAGACUUGCACGGACUUACUCGGAGUCUUAACAAAAGAAGAAGAAAAUGUUCAAAUUAACAAUUUUGAUAUGAAUAAUCUACCAUAUAAAGAACACAUACAUGAGGAAUUUAAAUUGCCUAAUAGUUUACCUCAUUAGGCUUUGCACUUUGAUUAAUGUUAGAGCAAUUCUUCAUAGUGACAGUAGCACUAGAGAUGAGAGAAGUAUUGCUAGGUCUAACAUCAUCCAAAGGACUCUCUUGCUUAAUUUUAGGGAUUUUAAUGGCCAUUGAUUGGAAUUAGAGAAGAGCGAUGGACUCUUUCAACUUUGUUUACUCUCAAUUUAUAGAGAAUCGGGUAGCAAGGACGUGGUUUCAUAGAUAACGAUGAGUAAGUAAAAAAAUGGUAAUCAUAAUAAUAAGGGUAAUUAUUUGGAACGGGGCUAAGAUUUUGACACGUCAUAUUUAUUUAUUUAUUUGUUAAAUACAAUUUAAGGACACAUGACAAAAUCUCAACCCACUUGUAGAGUUAAAAAUUUCCACCGCUAGUGUACCAAAUAAUUAUCCUAAUAACAACAACACCACAACCCAAUUUUAUAGUUUAUAGAUGAUUGGAUUGUAAUUGAUCCCCAAUACAUUAGCAAAUUUCAAAAUUCUAUAUUUUUAAGAGAUUUGUAUAGGUUUUGUACUAAGUAUUGAGAGCACUUAUCUGUUUAAGGAGAAAAUUUAGAUGUUAGAGAUCUAGCCUUUAGAAACAAAAGUAAGGUUGCUAUAUUGGGGUGUGAUAGGACUUAAAUCACUUGUUAUAUUGGGAUUAAAGAUAGUGGAUGAAUUAGGCUCCACAGACAUAAAGAAAUCGAACUGUGUAUACAAUUUCACCAAUCAUAUCUAUGUCUACAUUCUUCAAUAGAUUUAGGUUUAAGAUCCUCAAAUUUUUUCCAAUAUUUCAACAUAAACAUUAUAUGAAAAAAACAUUGUUGGCAAUUAUUUUAUUUUGGUUUCAUCUUUUUUCUUGUAGUAACAUAACUUAUCGAAAUCUCUUCAUUUUUAUUAUUAUCAAGUACCCAUGCCUCUUUUGAGAUACUACCAUUGAUUAUAUCUCGAGUCUUUUCAUGAUUACUCAUCUUUAAAUUACUUUAAAUGUGAUAUUUAAUGUAUGGAUUCUCUCAUAUUAAUUACCUUUAACAGUUACAACUUCUUAUUUACUAAAAUUGGGGUUGUUGAGUUGUAACAAGUUUGUUGUUAUCUCAAAUUUGGUUAACUCUUUAUUUUCAAUAAAAUUUUGGGUUGAAAAAAAUCCUAAUUUUCUAAAUAAGGCUUCCAUCUUUUUAAUAUUGAGAUAUAGAUUCAUUUACAUAUUAUUCUUUUCACAUUAUUUUAACUAAAAAACAGAAAACACGUUAUAAUCAUUUCUUUGUUUUUUGAAUUUUUAUUUUACGGUUAAAUUAUUUUUUUCGAAUCAUGUGCAUUGACAUGAUAGUCAGGAUAUUUAUUGCCCUGAUUUGGGUUCUAAAUAAUAGCUCAUUUUUUCUAAAUAUAAUUAUAUAUUUGUUAUUGAACACAUUAACUCCAAAUAUUUUACGCAUUUUAAAAAAAAUAUAUGCGUACAUGAAAGAAGAAGAUCCCAAUAAAUAAUAUAAUUUAUUUGUAAAGUAAUAAUAUUUUAAUCAUUACUCAAUUAAAUUAACAUUAACGUGGUAAAUUAGUUAGUGUAAAAUUAACUUAUAAUAGUAACUCAAAUCAUAUAUACAUAUAUAAGUAUAAAUAUAUCACAAGAUUUAAAAUGAAUAAGUGUGUUCACAUUAUAGUUUUUUGGCACGUGGUGCUCUUCAUUUUAAGUAAUUAGUUUUGCUUUGGGUAAAUUAACCUUUUACCCCUUACCCUUUUAAAUUAUAUUAAAUAAUUAUUUUACGUAUAUUACAAUUUAUAAGAUUUUUUUUUAAUUAAUCUUAUUAUUAUUAAUUUUUAUAAUAAAACAUUGACAUGUCUAUUUAUUAUAAUCUUUUUGAUAUAAUAUUUCAAUUUCAAUUUCAAUUUUUUUGGACUUAUUACAAUUGACAUUUCUAUUUAUUAUAAUCAUUUUGAUAUAAUAUUUCUAAACUUCAUAAGAAAAACAUAUAUUUUAUAUACUAAUAAUAUGCAUUAUUAAUUUUUUAUGUUAAGAUUAAAUUUACAUGAUUUUUUAUUUUAUUUUAAAAACAAUUACAUUAGAAUCUCGUGUGUUGGCCUGAUGGUUAGGGUGUUCGUUGCCCCAAGUGUUGAUCCUUGAUUAAGUUCACCAUAAUUUGGAUCUGUAUUUGUAUCAUUAAGAGUAUUAAGGGCUCCUUCUUCCAUAUACUCUUCGAAGUUAUGAAAUAUACAACAUGCUAGUUUUAUGUUAUACUAAGGUGAUGUUGUUAAUAUGAUAUAUUUUUUAGAACAUCUUCUCAACUACAUUUUGAAGCCUUGAAUAUCUCAAAAUAGAGAGUUCACAAGCUAUCUUUAAUAUUUCUGUCUAGCUUCAUUCUCUCAAAUAGUAUCAUAUUUCAUGAUAUGAUGCAAGAAAACCUUUUGUAUUUGCAUAAUUAUCAUCUACCAUACAAUGUUUGGGUUCACAUUGCUAAUAAUGUGUAGCUUUAAUUAUAAAAAAAAUUAUAUAAACUUUAUUUGGAGAAAGACAUGUUAGGUUAUAAUCUUUUUUAUAAUAAGUAAAUUAAGUAAAAAAAAUUGUAUAAGAUUUACAAUACACAUAAAUUAUUUUCAUUUUUUUAAGAUUUAUAAUAUAAGAACUUUUUGUCAUAACUAUCCGAACAUUCAUAUGCGUUCAUGUUUAUAAUAUAAUUUAUAUAAUUCGUAUAAAAACAACAUUUUUAAAUUGGACUUGACUGUAAUUACCUACAUAAUUACUCCAUUUCUCACAUCCAGUUCAUUGGGAUACACCAAUUACAAUGAUUAUCUAAAGAUGUCACUGUUAUAUAAUUAUAAGCAAUUACACCCAAAUCAAAUUACUACGUAGCUUACCAAACACUACCUUAAUCGCUUCUCCAAUUGUGAUUUUUUAAAAAUUUAUUCAAAGAUAUAUUAAGAGUUUUAUGUAUAAAAAGACGCCUUUCGUAAUGAUGUCUAAAACUGUGUCAUAGUAAGUGAUGGGGAUGAUAUUGGUACAUGGAUCAUGCCCAAUUUCUUACAUUAUUAUAUCUAAUAUGAAGAUUUUGAUAUAGAAGUAUAUCAACCUUUAAAAUAGAUAUCCUUUGGAUCAUAUCAUGUAUUUCUUCCAAUUUAUUGGUUACAACAUUUUACCUUCAAAUUAACUUUUAAAUGUACCUCUCAAUGUAGCUAAAAAUGUAUUACUUUCAUAUGUCAUUGACCACAUGAAGACAUGAUCCAAGAGCCAAAGGCUUCUUAAAAUUAAUAACCUAGUUUAAUUGGUGCCUGCCUGAUAACAACACAAGUGGUUAUACUCUUUGAAACCUGUGAACCUUUUCUAUGUUUGCAAAAUCAUUUUACCAAUUUUCCUCUCCUUCAUAAUCUAACUCUAUCCCAAAUUUCAUUGGUUUAAAAAGUAUAGAGAUACAUGACAAUUGGACUUACAUAUCCCAUAAACAUGUCACUAAAAACAUAAAAAUUCAAGAAAUCAAUUACUUGUAAAUGAUGAAUAAAUAGAUCAAUAAAUCUAAGAACCGGUUUUACAUGAGAAACACCAUUGUUCUAGAUUAAAUGUUUUAACAGAGUAUUAAGGAAUUGCUUUUUCUUGCUGCAAAUACUUGCUUGAUAGGAAAAAUAAAAAUAAAAUUACUGAAGCAAAUAAAAAGUUAAUGAUAUACAGACUAGUUUUUAGCGUAUUUAGAAACCAAGAGGAUCCCUCCCCCAUAUAUAUAGGUGCUCACAGCACGACACUACAUAACAUUCUAGCAAAGGAUAAAAUCAAAAGACAUACUAAAGCACAGAAUUACAGCACAAAAGACCAAAACAUGUUGCAUUAUAUUGCAAAACCACAAAGAUCUGUUGAAAAGCAAACAUUCAUAUGUAUAAAAGCAAUGAGUUACAAUGCUUAAAAACACAUUUAUUAAGCAAUAAAAUGGAUAUCUCAUCAAAAUUCAAAAUAGUAGUUCAUGCUCAAAAGUAAUCUAAAGCAUAUUAUGCAAAGGGAGGAGAAUCUGAUCUAAUAAACAAACUAGUACAUUGAAUAGUUGUCACUAACCCCAGGCCUGAUGCUUUUAUAAAUUGCCAUGACAAUAGGAAGCAUAGAGGUGAGUGCAAUCUGAAGUUGAUCCGAGCUGCUUGUUCGAACAGUUAUCUGUCCACUCAUCUUGUUGUUCAGUCCUGCACGAACUGCUACUUUUGAAUUCCUUCCAACGGAUAACUGAGACUGAAAAUUGGCUCCCAGUGCCAAAUCCCCUCUCCAUUUGACUAGAGACAAACCCAAAGUGGAUUGAUCCUGGUCGAUUGGAAAAUCUGCGCCUCGGAGCCGCAUUUCUAGAUUGGCUCCAUAUGCUGAAUCACCUUUGGAUCUAACAGUCCCAGUGCUACCAACUAAAACCAGCCGCUUUCCAACAACAAUAUGAUCCUCAAGUUUGAGUCCAGUUGCAACAUUCUCACCUAGAAAUGUGACAGAGAAGCCGGCAGCUGUUUUGUUCUUUUUGAGAUUUUUGAAUUUGGUCUCCCCUCUGAAAACAUAAGCUAAUUGCUUUCCAACAUUUUGGACGUCAAAGCCAGCCAUGGUUGAUCCAUUUUCACCAUGCUUGGCAGAAACUGAAGAAUCCAAAUGGAUGUUAAACUCUUUCUUAUCCUUGGUGAGUUGAACGGAAACUGCAGCAGGAAACUGGCUGGCGAUUGCUAGACUAUGUUCAACAUUAACACCGUCAUAGCCACAAUCAUGGUCCCAACCGUGAGUGUCCAAUACUGGCCUCGCCAAGAACUGAGAAGUAGGUUCCAAGAACCGGUACCUGAAUGCUGGAUUAUCACCAUCAAAGGAAGGUGGCAGGACCAUAUCAGGUAAUGGAACUGGUACAGAAGCAGGACCACCAGUUUCCGGAUCAACAUCUUCCCCUGUGUUACCAUAUUCAUCAACGGCAGGCUUUCCUUUCUUCAGCUCUCUCAUUCUUCUCAACUCCUCCCCCCACUGCUUUUUCUGGAGGAGCUUCACCCGAUAAUCAUACUCCUCGAAAUAUGCCUUCCUUUGCUCCUUGUCAAGCUUAGCAAGUUGUGCUUUCCUUAGAGCUUUGAAUGGUGGGAGCUUAUCAUACUCAUCCUCGUCGUCUUCUUGAUCAGAAUCAGAUAAAUCAUCCACAUCAAUAUCUGAGUCACCAUUCUCACCACCCUGAUCAGCAGAGAGUUUAGGAUGGCUACGAGACUGCAACAGCCACGAUAGCAAGUAUGGAAGAGGAGGAGAUCGGACACGAAAACCAAAGAGCUUCCGAUGGUCAAAUGGAUCUUGAGGUUUGGAGAGAGAACUUGCUUCAGAUAGGACUUUGAUAGAGUAGCAUAACAACAAUAGCUGAGGUCUCCAAGUUUGACCGUUAGGAAGCACCUUGUGGCCAUCCCUAUUCUUUCGGCAUGAUGGAUGAUUUUCAACAAGACAAACAGGAUUCAUCAAACUUGGAUUCAUCAUGCGUAAAUCACCAACAGCCUGAGCAAUAGACUGCUGAACAACAUGAGAACGUUGAGCAACAAACACCUCAUAACUCAAAGGCGAGCCAGAUGGUCCAUCAGGAGGUGCAGAAGCAGCAUGAGUCAAAGCAACUACGGCAUUUUUCCAGAUAGAGGAGCCAAGAGAAUUAGUGAUUGAUCUUAACAAUGGAAGAUCAUUAAGAUCCCGGGUCUGGCUGUCCAACCGAUCAACAUAGACUACAACAUCAGGGGGACACUUCUUCAUGUAUUGCUUUAUAGAAGCUAGGACCUUGCGAUUGGCACCUUGCUCCAUGGCAGAAGAUCUCAAACCUGGGGUAUCAAUGAUCCUCAAUUUCACACCAUCUAAUGUUCCAGUAAUCUCUUUCACAACUGAAGUGGCAGGUUCAAAUGCAUGAAUUGAAGUCUUCUCCUCACCAAAGAUUGAAUUUAUUGUGGCGCUCUUGCCCACCCCAAUUUUCCCAAGCACAAGUAUGUUCAAGGAGAAGCUUAAAUCAUCUUUACCCUCUGUUUCAAGUUCCAGAGCUUUCCUCUUUGAAGAAUCAACACUAAACAGUUCACUGGUUUGCCUCCCUGCAACAAGCGCCAGUCUAUAAAGAACCUGUGCUGCAACAGAAUCUUCCGUAGAGAGUCCUAGCCUCUGAACAAGCCUCAAGAAUUUGACUCUAAUAAGUUGCAACUUUUCUAAUUUUAUUUUAUCUUCUUCAGUCAAGUUGAUGUCGGAGUCUCUCCUACUUGUUACAGCAGAAGGACUAAAUAAGUUAGGCCUGUUUGAUCGAGCUGCAGGUUUUGCAUUUUGCAGUGAGGAUCCUAAACCCACAGGACGUUCAACAGAGAAAAGCCUAGAUCCAUCUUGAGAGGUUAUAGUAAUGUUACCACCAUCAGAGCCAGCGCCGGUUGCUGCUUUCAAGAGGGCUGCCAAAGCAGCAGAAUCAAAUAACUCCUUCCCCUCCCCUUCUUCAUCUGUAUCCCCUUCUUCAUCAGAAUCAAUGACAAUCUGACCAUCAAUUGUCUGCGAAUGAUCAUGAGAAGUAUCAGCACCCGAGUGAGAACCAAUGGCAGCUCCUCGUUCUAGCUCCUUCAAGAAUUGCUCAGCAGCAUCAGCAUUCUCAAAGAACAUGCUUUCAGCCUCUCCGUCAGUAUCUGAGCCUCCAAUUUCAGCACCUUCAUUCUGAUGGUGCUCCUCUUGCAUUUCACCUUCAAAACUAUUUUGUUCAACAGACUUUGGUAAAUGAGAUUCUUCUACUGCCAUGGCUACUGAUCUUUUGCUUUCAGAAUCAGCAUCUGAAACCUCCAUUUCACGAGCUGCCAUCAUUUCAGUGGGUUGAGCAGAAUCAUCCAUGGUCUGAAUUCCAUCUAUACCCCCUCCAUCUAUUUUCUCAGUAGACGCUUGCUCCAACAUAUCUACACCUGCCUCCUCUUUGAGGUCACUUAGCUCAGAUUCGGAACCAUCUUUAGCAAGCAAACCCCCACCAGCAACAUCAGCUUUCCUCUCGGCAUUGGUUUCAGAAGUCAAGACCUCAGUAGUUUCAAUUUCAUCGGUCGCAACAGGGUCAAUAGUUUUAUCAGACACAGGAUGGACAUCCAGAACACGUUCUUCUUCAUCAUGACCAGCCUGAUUAAAGCCAUUAUCCAAGCUCACAUCCCCAUCAACCGGAACCACCUCUGUCUCCUUAAUCUCCGAUGUCUCAAUGCCUAAACCAUCACCAGUUAAAGGCGUUGCAUCAACAGCCAACUCCUCUCCACCGGAAAAUUUCGAACCAUCAUCAUCAACCACCUCACCAUCUACUGCUUCUGCAAUCACAGGAUUAACAACCUUAGCUCCACCAUCUAACACCGAAUUAUCCUCAUUCUCAACCAUCCCAAUUCUACCUUCCUCUUCACUCUCAAUUGAUAAAACAGCUUGGUCAGCUUCACCAGUAGAGCCCAUUCCCACCUUAUUAUCCUUCUCUUCUCCAUUACCAACACUAUCAAAAUCAACCUUUCGCAGCGAACCCUCACCUCUAAACUCCUCUAAACCAUUAUCACCACCCCCAAACGACUCCUCCUUCAAAAUCACAUCCGAACCAUCAGAACCAACAAAAGGGGUAUCGCUAACAUCCCCAACAGUCGGAAAUACUUCAUCAGGGUCAGCCACAAAUGGCCUCUCGGGUACUGUUUCAAACUUGCCAUCACCGUUCUCAUCAAUAUCACUAGUUCUAUUAUCAUUUUCUUUCAAAGCAUAAUCGCUUACCGAACUAGUUACAAACUUAGAAUCAUCAUCGGAAGAAGAAGAAGAGGAGGAAGAAGAAGAAGAGGAAGAAGAAGGAGAACCUGGAGUGGCAGAGAGCGGCUGAGAAGCGAUUUCUGGGGCAGAAAACUCGGUUUCCAUGAGAGAAGAGAAUUAGGGUUUUAGGAUAUGGUAAUGAAAAUUGGGUGGUAAAGAAAAAUCGGAUUGCGUAACUGGAAUUUUGUGAUGGAGAUACUAAGCUUUAAGGAAGAGGAAAAAGAUAAGGUAGAAUGGAAGCUAAGGGUUUUGCGAGUUCGUAAUUAUCAAUCUCAUCUGUUGAGAUUAAAAAAAAAAAAAGCAAUUAUAUUAUAAUUUUAUUACAUUAUAAUUAAAUUAUAUUCAUUUAUUAAUUUAAAAUAAUCUUAAGAUUUGUAAUGCAUGAAAAAUAUUUUUUUAAAUAAAAAAUAUAAAUAUCAAUACUUCAUUUUUUUAAUCUUUAUUUAUGAUAUUAUAGUGAUAGUAAAAAUUGAUAUUUUUAUAUAUGAUGUUAAUUUAAAAACUAAAUAUUUAAGUAUAUAUUUAAUUUAAAAUAUUUAACAUAAAUUCAUAUAAAUUAAUAUUAAUAUAUACCAAAUUUAUAUAUAUUAAUGUUAAAAAGUAUCGUUAUUUGUUAUUUCAUAAAUUUUGUUAACUAUCGUAAAAUUUUAAAUAAUUAAGUUAAUAGUUAAUUGAGUCUUAAUUCAAUUGGUAUAGGUGUUGUUGUUAGUGCAAAAAAAUGUAGGUUCGAGUACGUUGAACUGCAUUAUUUUCCUAUUUAAGGGUUUAAGAGAACUAUUGGUAGUUUUAAAGUAAGUAUGAUAAAAAUCUAUAAAAAAAUCUAAUUAAAUUAAUUAAUAUAUAAAUUAAUAUAGAAGAAGAAAAGAAUAUACAUAUUGUGUUUUAUAUAGUUUAUAUUAUUUUCUUUAAAAAUAGUAUUAUCAUAUAUUAAGCGUAAAUACUAUAUGUCAAUAAUGACAGUAGAAAUUAUCGUAAUGCAAUAAGAAACAAAAAUAAGAACACAAAGAUUUACUAAUUUACUAAUUAGACCAACAAUAAUAAGAAAUUUUCUAUUAGAAAGAAUAAUAAAAUAAAAUAAAAAUAUUAAACAAUCAAUUUUUAAAAAUUAAUUCACUAAUUUUCAUCUUAAGCUUGAUAUUUUGCUUUUUCACUUGUAUCAUCCACUUGUUUGUUGUAUCUAUAAUUUCAUAUAUUUUUUAAUGUUUUAACAUUUCGAUAUUUUCACAAAAUUUUCUUGAUAUUUUGUAUUGCCGAUUAUAUAUGUUGGGGUUCGAUUUGUAUGAGCAACGAAUAAGUAAAAUAAAGCAGAUCAAACAUACAAGUAUUUUACGUAAAAAAACUACUCCGAAGAGGAUAAAAAUCACGGCAAAGGAGGUUUCAGCUUUUCAUUAAAUAUGUAAACAAACAAGAGUACAAUAUGGAGAAAAUAAACCUAAAUUUACUAAACGUACAUUACUCAAAACUCUGAAUAUAAGGUAAUAACUCUCAUAGAGCAAACCCGAAAAUAAAACCCUAAUUCUCGUAGAGUUAUCUCAGAAGAAGUACAAAAUUAUAUUUAUAGUUACCGCGAAAACUCUCACCACAUCACCAUGUCUCAAUGUACCUAUUCGCGCCAUCCGUUGUCACAACGUCAGGGAGCUUCUCAUCAUUACCUCACUGUCUGCUCGACCGAAAAUACGACACCCCACAUAUUGGAAGAAAACUUAAAAAAAAGUUAUUAAAAAAGAUGGUGAAAAAAAUAUAUGAAUUAAAAAUUUUCAAAAAUUAUAAAAGUUUAAUGAUACUAUAAUAUUAAAUUUAUUUUAUUGAAAAAUUAGUUUCAAAUUGAAAAAAAAAAACCUUUCAUUUUGUUUUAGGAAAACAUUUUCUUGGAAAAUUAGAAAACAAACUAAGAAAAAAUGAUUUUGUUGAAAAUUCUAAAAACAAUUUUUGAAAAAAAAUUGUGAAAAUUUUAAAAAAAUUAUUUUUAUUCUUUUCACUAAAAAUGUUUUUUACAAAAUUGGAAACAAGUGUUUUAAACUUUAAAAUUAAUGGAUGAAUUGACCUUAGAUUAAAUCCAUUUAAAGGAGAAAUUUUAUUAUUUUAAACCAUUUUUAAAUAAAAAUCUCUUAUCUAAAUUUUUAUUUUAUUUUUUAUUUUUCUAUUAUAAAAAGAUGGACACUAAACAUAUUUUUUAUUUUUUAAUCCAAAUAAUUAACGCUGUUCACUUUUCUAUUAAAAUAUUACAUGAUUAUAUAUAACUUAAAUGCCCCAAAGGUCUCAGAGGCUGACACGUGACUUCUUAUUUCUUUUGGAUUUGCCUUUAUUAGCAUUUUAUGUCAUGCUAAAACUUGAUAUUUAAUCUAUAUACUUUAAUUUAUAACAUAAUUUAAUUUGGUUCAUUUACUUUUACAAUGUCAUUAGUUAGUUUAAAUAAUUAAUAUUGUUAAAUAUUUCAAUCAAAUGCUGUCAAUUUUUUUUUUAAAUUACUAUUCUAGCAAAAAAUAUUUUAUCAUCACAAGCUUAAACAAGUAUUUUUAAGAAAAAAAUCCGCACCAAUAAAAUUGGAUUUAAUGUAACAGUUAUCCUAGAUGACAUCAAAGUGGUGCUCCCUGUGGCACUGGAUUUUCAACCAGAGGCGAACCCAAGGGGGGUUGGCAGGGGCCCGACCCCCUUAAAAUAGAAAAUUAUUGUUUUGGCCCGUUAAAAAAUUUUAAAUUAGUGAAGAUAAAAUUACACUUUGCCCCCCUAAAAUUAUGAAAAUUUAAUUUAAUCUUUUAAAAAUUAUAAAGAUAUAGACAAUUAAAAAUUAAAAUUUCAUUUCGGCCCUCCUAAAGAGAAUUUCUAGCUUCGUCCUUGUGUCUAAUCGUGGGAUAUAACAAAAACUAUAAUUAAAUAUAUAUAUUUUUAAAAAAACUAGCAAUUUUAAGCAAGACCUUUUAAGAUUGGGUUAAUAUAAUUUUUAGUCCCUGAAUAUAGUAAUUAAAUCCACUUCAGAAAUCGCACUUUUUUUUGUUCACUUUAGUACUUGAACUUAACAACUAGGUUUAUUUUAGUCAUUUAACUUAGAUUCAAUCACAAUUUGAUGAUAUGGUACAAUUUCAAAAUAUCACUCAUCAAGUUUUUUACAUUUACUAAAUUUAAUCAAAAUAAAUCUAAUUACCAAAUUUAGAUACGGGAAGUAAAAAUACAAAAAUAAAUUUAAUUCGUAUUUUGUUGGUUUGCCUUUGAAGGAUAACAUUAAGGAUUAGGCUUCUGUAUAACUUUGUUUGGUUUGGUAUUUUAUUUUAUCUUUAUUUUAUUUGGGCUUAUUUUGACCUUAUAUGUGUUUUGUUGUUUGGUUAGGCAUAUUUGACUUCUAUUGGAUAUAUGUAUAUGUUUUUAUUAAUGUUUUUAAAAUCAGAUUGAUAGGCAAAUUAGUUACGCUAGAAGUUUAUUAAUCCGAUUAGUUUAAUAAAAGAAAUAUUAAAAGAAUUGGUUCAAUAUCGGUCGAUCCUUUUUUAGUCAAUUAGUUUAACCAGUUCGUGAAUUUUAUCGCAUCAGUUCAAAGUCUUUCUCCAAAUCAGUUCUUCGACCGAUUGUCAUUCCAAUCAAUUCAACCGUCUAAUUCGAUUUGAUUCAAACAAUCUUAAACCCAUUUAAGUUCAUCCAUAUUAAAAAUUUAAAAUAUUAUUUAUAUAUUUAAUAAUUUUAUAUAUUUUUAAUUAAAAAUUUAAACAUAAAUAAUUUUCACAUAUAUAUAUUUAUAUAUUUAUAUAUUCAAUUUUCAUACUAUAAAUAUAAAAGAAAAGAAAAUUAACAUAUUAUAAACUAAAAAAAAAUGAGCCAAACCUUUGAAUAUUGAAGCUUAAGUGUGACAUUUUUUAAAAAUGAGUUUAAUACUUUUAUAUAAAUUUAGCUUAAAUUUAACUCUUUUUCUUAUUCAAAUCUUCUCAAAAAUAGAUUUAUAAUGAAUUUAAAUGUUAUACACAAUUACUAUAAAAUAAAUAAAAGAGAAAACUUGGUAAAAGUAUCAUGUACUAUUAAAAAUUUAGGUGAAUUAGUCCUUGUAAGUUAGAUUCAAGAGCAAAUUGAUCCUUUUGUAGAAAAUUUUAUCCAUUUUUACUAUUAAAAAUUGGUCACUAUAAGUCAGUAUGAUGUACAUGUGAUAUGCCACGUAUAAUUGUCGGUUAUUUACAGUAAAAAUAGAUUAAUUUACUCUUUUUCUAAAUAAAAAAAAACAGAUAAAAUACAAUCUUUCCAAUACAAAAAUGGAAAUGAUAUUUUUACCGAAAAUACUAUAAUAAAACCUCGUUGUAGGGACGACAUGAUUUUCCCUUCAAGUUGCUACCAUCAUCUAACAUAAAACAAACACAAGAGUUUAAAGAGUGAUAUUUGGGAUUGGUCGGCCACAUUGCUUUAAUCAGUAAUGAUAUAAGAUUUAACAAAACUUUGUCUUACCAAAAUAAACUAUAAAACUAUAUCUAAAUAAUAUUAAUUAAAUAUAAAUUAUUAUUAUUAGUGUAAUUAUUAUGAAUUUUGUGUUUGACAUAUUACAUUCUCAUGAAAAAAAAAUAUUUAACUCAGUUUUAUUUUGUGAAAAUACUUAUUAAUUGAAUGUUGGCUUCAUAAAAUUUUUAAUAAAUAUUAAAUUUAUUUUUGAUAUUUCAAAUAACAAUUCUAUUUAUUAAGUUAUUAUAGAGUGAAUGAAGAAAAUUAAAUUCUCAAAGGUUAAGGGAUAGGAUAGUAUAAUUUUUGACUCGAGAAGAUUUAAUCGGUGAUACUUCCCCCUCCAUUUGUUUAUUGGUUUUGAUAAUAUAAAUUUUAACUUUUUAUUUAUUAUCAGAAAAUUCAUUUAACUUAACCAAAUGUGACAAGUCUUAUAACUAAUAAAAAUAUUUAAAAUUGUAAAACUAAUAAAAAAAUAAACAAGUGGUUUUAAUUAGUAUAUAAAAAUUAAUACUUCAAUAAAUAAAGUAGUUCAAUACAGUAUUUAAUCUUUUUAUCAAAUAAAAUUAUUUAAUAAAAAAUUAACAAAUAUUUAUAUUUGUGAUAAGUAUCUAAUAAAUUCAUUUAAUAAAAAAAUUUAAUAGCUUAUAAAUCCGAUGAAAAUAUUUAAAAUGAUAAAAUUAGUAAUAUAAUAAAGAAUGAAAAGUACUCUAAUUAAUUUAUAUAUCUAAAACUCAUUUUCUUUGCCUAACCCUCCCCAGCCCUCAAAGCAUACAAAACAGAGCAAAACAACCAAAUACCCUAUUACCAAUCAAAACAUCAUACAUUUGCAGCCCUCGAAGACUAGAUAUAUAUUUUUAAGGUCCCUCUGAGAUUAUAUAUUAAUAUUAUACAUUAGUCUCUAUGACCUUUUUCAUUUCACCACACAAUCUAAAUUUCUAACUCUGCCCCUACAAUCUAGCUCCGCCAGACUCCAACUCUUAUACUGUUCAAGAGGAACUUAUACUAUUUAAAAACAAAAAUAUCAUACAUGAACUAUAAGUUCUUUUUAAAACAAAACCAACCAGUUAUCAUCAAUCCUGCGUACCAUUCUAGUAGAGGAUAUGUAAAAAUAACAGAUCCUCAAAAAGUAACAUUAUAUCAAAAGGCUGCAAAGAUCUGUACAUGUAAAUUCCUCUGCUAACAGGCAAAAUGUUCAUAUUUAUAAAAAGCUUACCAUUAACCAAAACCGCUAAACAAACAAGCAAAAAGUUACCAUGCUUAGUAACAUUUAUUAGGAAAUAAAAAUGGAUACCUCAUCAAAGCAGUACUUCACGCACAAAAAUAGCCUACAACAUAUUAAUCAAGGAAUGUAGCUAAUAAACUAAUACAUUGAGUAGUUGUCACUAACCCUGGGCUUGAUGCUUUUGUAAAUUGCCAUGACAACAGGAAGGAGACCAGUGAGUGCAAUCUGGAGUUGAUCCGAGCUGCUUGUUCGAACAGUUAUCUGUCCACUCAUCUUGUUGUUCAGUCCUGCACGAACUGCUACUUUUGAACUCCUUCCAACAGAUAACUGAGUCUGAAAAUUGGCUCCCAGUGCCAAGUCCCCUCUCCAUUUGACUAGAGACAAACCCAAAGUGGAUUGAUCCUGGUCGAUUGGAAAAUCUGCACCUCGGAGCCGCAUUUCUAGAUUGGCUCCAUAUGCUGAAUCACCUUUAGAUCUAACAGUCCCAGUGCUACCAACUAAAACCAGUCGCUUUCCAACAACAAUAUGAUCCUCAAGUUUGAGUCCAGUUGCAACAUUCUCACCUAGAAAUGUAACAGAGAAGCCAGCAGCUGUUUUGUUCUUUUUGAGAUUUUUGAAUUUGGUCUCCCCUCUGAAAAUGUAAGCUAACUGCUUUCCAACAUUUUGGAUGUCAAAACCAGCCAUGGUUGAUCCAUUUUCACCAUGCUUGGUAGAAACUGAAGAGUCCAAAUGGAUGUUAAACUCUUUCUUAUCCUUGGUGAGUUGAACGGAAACUGUAGCAGGAAACUGGUUGGCGAUUGCUAGACUAUGUUCAACAUUAACACCAUCAUAGCCACAAUCAUGGUCCCAACCGUGAGUGUCCAAUACUGGCCUCGCCAAGAACUGAGAAGUUGGUUCCAAAAAUCGGUACCUGUAUGCUGGAUUAUCAGCAUCAAAGGAAGGUGGCAAGACCAUAUCAGGUAAUGGAACUGGUACAGCGGCUGGACCACCAGUUUCCUGAUCAACAUCUUCCCCUGUGUUACCAUAUUCAUCAACGGCUGGCUUUCUUUUCUUCAGCUCUCUCAUUCUUCUCAACUCCUCCCUCCACUGCUUUUUCUGGAGGAGCUUCACCCGAUAAUCAUACUCCUCAAAAUAUGCCUUCCUUUGCUCCUUGUCAAGUUUAGCAAGUUGUGCUUUCCUUAGAGCUUUGAAUGGUGGGAGCUUAUCAUACUCAUCCUCGUCUUCUUCUUGCUCUGAAUCAGAUAAAUCAUCCACAUCAAUAUCUGAGUCACCAUUCUCACCACCCUGAUCAGAAGAGAGUUUAGGAUGGCUACGAGACUGCAACAGCCAUGAUAACAAAUAUGGAAGAGGAGGGGAUCGGACACGAAAACCAAAGAGCUUCCGAUGGUCAAAUGGAUCUUGAGGUUUGGAGAGAGAACUUGCUUCAGAUAAGACUUUGAUAGAGUAGCAUAAUAACAGUAGCUGAGGCCUCCAAGUUUGACCGUUAGGAAGCACCUUCUGACCAUCUCUAUUCUUUCGGCAUGAAGGAUGAUUUUCAACAAGACAAACAGGAUUCCUCAAACUUGGAUCCAUCACACGUAGAUCACCAACAGCCUGACCAAUAGACUGCUGAGCAACAUGAGAACGUUGGGCAACAAACACCUCAUAACUCAAAGGUGAGCCAGAUGGUCCAUCAGGGGGUGCAGAAGCAGCAUGAGUCAAAGCAACUAUGGCAUUUUUCCAGAUAGAGGAGCCAAGAGAAUUAGUGAUUGAUCUUAACAAUGGCAGAUCAUUAAGAUCCCGGGUCUGGCUGUCCAACCGAUCAACAUAGACUACAACAUCAGGGGGACACUUCUUUAUGUAUUGCUUUAUAGAAGCUAGGACCUUGUGAUUGGCACCUUGCUCCAUGGCAGAAGAUUUCAAACCUGGGGUAUCAAUGAUCCUCAGUUUAACACCAUCUACCAUUCCAGUAAUCUCUUUCACUACUGUAGUGGCAGGUUCAAAUGCAUGAAUUGAGGUCUUCGACUCACCAAAGAUUGAAUUUAUUGUGGCACUCUUGCCCACCCCAAUCUUCCCAAGCACAAGCAUGUUUAUGGAGAAGCUUAAAUCAUCUUUACCCUCUGUUUCAAGUUCCAGAGCUUUCCUCUUUGCAGAAUCAACACUAAACAGUUCACUGGUUUGUCUCCUUGCAACAUGUGCCAGUCUAUAAAGAACCUGUGCUGCUAAAGAAUCUUCAGUAGAAAGCCCGAGCCUUUGAAGAAUCCUCAAAAAUUUGACUCUUAUAAGCUGUAAUUUUUCCAAUUUUAUUUUAUCUUCUUCAGUCAAGUUGUUGUCAGAGUCUCCCCUACUUGUUACAGCAGGACUAAAUAUGUUAGGCCUGUUUGAUCGAGGUGCGGAUGUUGCAUUUUGCAGUGAGGAUCCUAAGCCCGCAGGACGUUCAACAGUGAAAAGCCUAGAUCCAUCUUGAGAGGUUAUAGUAAUGUUGCCGCCAUCAGAGCCAGCAUCAGUUGCUGCUUUCAAGAGGGCUGCCAAAGCAGCAGAAUCAAAUAACUCCUUCCCCUCUCCUUCUUCAUCUGUAUCCCCUUCUUCAUCUGAAUCAACAGCAUUUGUCUGUAUAUGAUUAUGAGAAGUAUCAGCACCCGAGUGAGAACCAAUGGCAGAUCCUCGUUUUAGCUCCUCCAAGAAUUGCUUAGCAGCUUCAGCAUUCUUAAAGAACAUACUUUCAGCCUCUCCAUCAGUCUCUGAGCCUUCAUUCUGAUGCUGCUUCUCUUCCAUUUCACCUUCAAAACUAACUUUUCCAGCCACUGUAGUUUGCUCCACAGACUCAGGCAAAUGAGAUUCUUCUCCUGGCAGGGUUACUGACCUUUUGCUUUGAGAAUCACUAUCUAAAUUCUCUGUUUCAUGAGCUGCCAUUAUUUCUGUAGGUUGAGCAGAACUAUCCUUUGCCUGAAUUCCAUCUCCACCCCCUCCAUCUACUUUCUCAGAAAAUGCUUGUUCCAAAAUAUCUAUGACCUCCUCAUCUUUGAGAUCAUUUAGCUCAGUCCCAGAAUUGUCUUUACCAAGCAUAACCCCACUGGCAAUAUCAGCUUUAUUCUCAGCAUCAACAGCCAACUCCUCUCCGCCGGAAAACUUCGAACCAUCAGCAUGAUUCAAGCCGUUAUCCAUGCUCGCAUUAUCAUCAACUGGAACCACCUCUGUCUCCUUCAUCACCGAUGUCUCAAUGCCUAAAGCAGCUCCAGUCAAGGGUUUCGCAUAGACAGCCAACUCCUCUUCGCCAGAAAAUUUCGAACCAUCGACUUCAACUACCUGAUGAUCUACUGUUUCUACAAUCAUAGGAUUGACACCCUUAGCUCCACCAUCUAACACCAAAUCAUUCUCAAAAAUCCCAAUUCUACCUUCCUCUCCACUUUCCAUUGAUAAAACAGAUUGGUCGACUUCACCAAUGGAACCCAUUUCCACCUUAUCGUCCUUUUCCCCAUUACCAACACUAUCAACAUCAACCUUCCCCAUCGAACCCUCACCUCUAAAUUCCUCUAAACCAUUAUCACCACCCCCAAACGAGUCCUCAUUCAAAAUCACAUUCGAACCAUCAGAACCAACAAAAGGGGCAUCACUAACAUCCCUCGCGGUCGGAAUUACUUCAUCAGGGUCAGCCAUAAAUGGCCUCUCGGGUACUGUUUCAAACUUCCCCUCACCAUUCUCGUUACUAUCAUUAGUUUUACCAUUCCCAUUAUCUUCCAAAGUACGUUCACUUACUGAACUAGUUACAAACUCAGAAUCAUCAUUCGAAGUUAAAGAAGAAGAAGAGGAAGAAGAACCUGGAGAGGUAGAGAGCGACUGAGAAGUGAUUUCCGGGGCAGAAAGCAAGGCGUCCAUGGUUGAAAGAGAGGAAAGGGAGAUAGAGAGAAUUAGGGUUUUAGGAUAUGGAAUGAAUUUUGAGUGGCACACAAAGUUUGGAUUGGAUUACUGGAAUUUGUAAGAGAGAUACCAAGCGUUUAAGUAAGAUGGAAAGAUAAGGUUCAUGGAAGCAAAGGGUUUGUUUGUGAGUUCGUUACUUGCCAUGUCAUUCGUUAAAGAUGUAAUUAAAAACUAUACAUAGAGGUAUCCAACUGGAAAAUUACCUAUAUUCAUCUAUCUAAUCAUUGAAUUUAUCGAGAAUGUAAUUUUUAUAAGAAAAUUGAAAUCAAGUCAUAUCUCAAUUGACAUAAAUAUUAUUGUUAAUAUAUAAAAACAUGAAUUCGAAUACGUUGAAAUGGAAUUAUAGAAAGACUAUAGAUAAUUUUUACUCAGAGAUAGAUGUUGAAGUAUAACAAAGAACUGAUGAAAUUGUUAUGUUGUAUAUAUAGUUUUGACAUAUUUUCAUUUAUUUACAAAUUAUUUUUAUGCUGCUGAACUUGUAUAAUAUAAGAAUCUCAUGAAAAAGUAAAAACGAAUAAUAUAGAUUUAAUGUAUGUAUUUUUAUUUAUAUUUAAAAUUUUAAUACAUUUAGUAAUUUUUAUUUAUGUAACAAACAUUUAAUAAGUUUCAAGCCCUUCAAAAACCAUCCCACCUCGACCCAAAAUUUACACAAGGAAAAGUAUAACAAUAGUACCAUUUACAAAAUGCCACAUUUACAAAAUAGUAUGUUUGUCAAACAUUCAAUAAGCUUAGGCUUUGGAGUCAAUUAACAUAGCAUGUUCAAAACUAAUUUAAACCUUAUCUCGGUAAUAAAUGAACGAUUACAAACUCUCAUGCAACUUGAUUUUUACAUGUGUCAAAUCUUCUGUAACAAUCCAACUUUUAGUGGUUUCAGAAAUAGUGAUUCGAGACAAUUCAAUAAAUUAAUAUUUAUAAGUCGGGUGUGAUUUUAAAAAUAUUUUUAAAUUAGUAAAUUUUGUGAUUUAAAAGAAAUUAUUAGGUAAAUUGGGUUGAAAAUGAGGUAUCGAGACAUCAAUUUCAUAAACUGAGUCGUAAAUAUUUUUAUAAAUAUUUACGGAUUGUUACUAAGAUAGUAGUAAAGUUUCAUUAGGAAAUUUUAACGUUUUGAUAGUUAAUUAAAUAAAAAUGACUAGAUUGAAAAAGGUACAAAACUUGCUAAAAUGAUUAAAUGGCUUAAGUGAUGAAUGAGGAGGGACUUAAGGCAUAAAUAUGCCAAUAGGGAAUAGUUUAGGCGGCAUGAGAAGAGAAAAAUCUGAACAAUUGAUGUAAUAAGGGCAAAAUUGGAAAUUUUGCAAAAAUUAACAAAUAAAAAUCUAAAUUAAAAGAGUUUCUAGCAAGUUUCUUCAUCUUUUCCAGCUAAAAACACCAUAGAAAGGUCCCUAUAAGCUGGUUUUUCAUGCUCUUGCUAUAAGUAAGUUCAAUUCUUGAUUAAUUCUUGUAAUUUUUGUGAUUUUCAUACUUUUACAACUAGGUCCAACUAUUGAACUCAUUAGUUUUUGAUUUUAUAAGUGAUUUUGAAAGUUACUAUGGUUAAGUGCUGGAAUUUUAUGAUGAAUUAACAUAGUUUUGAAGCUUUAAUUUUAUUAUAUGAUGGUUUUAUUAAGUGAUUUUAAUAGAAAUUUAUUUUGGGGACCUAAUUGUGAAAAGUUUGGAAUUAGGGUUUAAUGUUGAAAUUAUGGUUACCAAAGGUUGUGUAGUAGUUUAAAAUGAUGGAAUAAAGUGUUAGUUGAGAAAAUUUAGUUCAAUUGAGGGGUUAAUUGAGCAGGGACUAAAUUGUAAAAAUUAUAAAAUUUUGGGUAAAUAUGUAAUUUUGAAAAUUAAAGGGUAUAACGUGUGAAGUGAAUUUUAAUUGAAUUUUAUGUUGAUAAAUGAAUACUUUUACAUUAUAGAUCAAGAAUCUGAAGAGAAACGUGGAAAAGAAAAGUUAACCGAUUAGUCCCUGAACUUCCACAACAUCUACAAACUACUCUAGGUAAGUUCAUAUGGUUGAUUUUUCAUGAUAAAUUGUUAAAUUAGGACUGAUAUAAUGUAUUAAUUCAAAUGCUUAUUAUUGAAUCAUGAAUAUUGUAAAAGUUUGAGAUCUAAUUAAAAGUUCAAAUUAAUAAGAAAGCAGAAUUGAGUAUGAUCGUCCAGUGAUAAGUGAUGAAUUGACGGACAAGACCAUGGGUGGACCAGGGCAUAGUGAAGAUGUAAGACCAUAGCUGGGCUAUGACAUUCUACUGAAAAGACCAUAGCUGGGCUAUGUCAUCAGUGAUCAUCAGUGAACAUCAAUGAUCAUCAGUGAUCAUCAGUGAAUAUCAGUGAACUUCAGUGAACAUCAGUGAACAUAAGACCAUGGUUAAACCAUGGUAGUAAGUGAAUAAGUGUAAAACCAUAGUUAGACUAUGGUACCAGUGAAAAACGACGUACUUAAUUUUGUAAGACGUUCGCUAAUUUGAUAAAAAGUGAUAAUUGAUAUGGAAAUUAAAGUGAUAGAAUUUAAAUAGUUAACGAUAUUGAGUUCACUCACAUGAAUUUGUCAUUGGAAUUGUGAUUGGCAGGUAGUGUUAAUGAAUUACUUAUUUUAUGAAUUGUUGUAAUAUAUUUGGAAAGAAUUAUCUUUAUAACCUAUGAACUUACUAAGCUUAUAUAAGCUUACUCUAGUGUGCUUAAUGUUUCUUGUAGAUUGACGUGGUUAUUGGAGGAUCGGAUCAACUCAUCUCAUCACACUAUCCAGAUUACUUCGGUAGAUUUUGUUGAACAUCUUUUGGUUUAUAUGGCAUGUAUAAGGUGGUUUGAUAAUGAAAUAGUUUGAAUUGAAGUUAUGAGAUUUAAAUGUGUAUAUAUGUAUUAGAAAUGGAAAUGUUGGUGAUGUUUAUCAUAUUUAAUGCAUAAUUUGGCUUGGAUUGAGUACUUGGUUGGACUAUUUUGGUAUAUGAGUUUGUUUAGUGUAGGUUGGAUGAGUAUAGGGUGAGAAAAAUGGCCUUAAAAUGGCCUAUUUUCGUCUACACGGGUAGGCACACGGGCGUGUGUCUUGGCCGUGUGUCACACAUGGCCUGUUAUAUAGGUAUGCAGUUUGGCCAUGUGUCCCCUGUAAUCCUAAAAUUGAGAAACAAAAUGCUCAGGAUUGAGCACAUGGGUAGAGACACGGGCGUUUGUCUCAACCUGGAACAUGGGCAUGUUACACAGCCGUGUGAAACCUGCACUUAAAUUUUGAAAAUUUAAUUAACCAUAUUGCCUAACACACGGGCAUGUAAAGAUACUAUAAAUAUACUAUAAAUUACAGGCUAAGUUACUUUCAGGAGCCAUCAAAUCUUUGUGUUGUUGUUUUUUCACCUAAAACACCAGAAAAAAAGAGAAGGAAGAACCACUCAAAUUUCAACAAGUUCUUAUAAGUGAAAAGAACAUAUAAAGCAAUUAACCGUUGUAGGAAAAGACUUUACAAGGAACCUUACAUGUAAAAAAGACCUUAAACAGAAACCAACAAACCCUUUUGAAAAAUACUAGCUCAACAAGUUAGAAAACUCGAUAUGUGAGACCUUAUACUCGCAUUAUCAUUCACAUCAUAGCACAUUCCCAAACAGUUAGAUCAUCAAUAAAUGAAAAAGUUUACCAAGUAAAUCACAAUUGAAGAAUCGGUUUUAAAAAUGCUAGUGGAAUAACUUAACAUCAAUAUUCUAUUACAAUGACUACCUUCCACUAACAUCUAUUGAAAUUGAUAUUUCCUAACUUCUUGGAGUUUUAAAAAGAAAUUGUUCCUGAACAAAUAAAAUGAUUAUAAAUGAAGCGAAAAUCAACUUGAUAAAAAGGGAGAAAGAAAUGCCAUAUCGUAACACCUCUAUACUUGGUUUGAUCUAUGGACCCGGUAUAAAAUUUAAAUAUUUAUCCAUAAUGUUUUAAUUUAUUUAACCCAACAAUUAUUAUUAUAAACAUUUGGGGUCAUUCGAUUGCGUUUGAAAAUGAUUUUAAAAUUAUUUUCACUCAAAAAAAGGGUCAAAUAUUGAUACUUAAACAAAUAGUAUCCAUAUCUUAUAAAAGGUAUCGAUACAUUUGCACAUUAUCAAUACCAAAAUAACAUUCUUUCUCCAAAAUUCAAAUUUUGAUUAAGGUAUCGAUACCUUGGAUGUGAUAUCGAUACCUUGGAUGUGGUAUCGAUACCAAAAUUACAUUCUGUUUUGAAAUUUUUGAGUUCCAAAGCCUAGGUAACGAUACUUAUACCCUUUUAUCGAUACCGUGGCUAAAUUUUGAUAAAAAUAAAUUGAAAAUAUUGCUAAAACCCUGCAAAGUUUUGGAUUCUUUACAACACUUCAAAUCUUUUCAAAGUGCCUUAAGGCAAUUCAAAACAACUCCAAUUCAACUAAAUUAUCACAUUAUCAAACCACAAUUGCAAGCAUGCAUAUGACUAUCAAUAAUUCAUUUCAUAUAAAACCAAAAUAUUUUAAUUUAAAAUACCAAAAUAGAUAAAGUUUUAAGAAUAUGCAUUUUAGCCCUUACCACUUGGGAACACAUGUGGUCUACCUAUGUACAUGCCAUUUUAACCCAAAAUAUAUACCUACUCUUGUAGCUCUUGAAGAUGUAAUUGUAACACCCCGAAAUCUAUAAUAUGAAAAUAUUGGAAAAUCAAGAUUUUGUUCUCGAUAAAAUAAAAUAAAAAAAUAAGGAAAAUAAAGGCGAUAAAAAGGAGGAAGUUAAGUGAAUACAAGAAAAUUUAAUUAAGAGCAAAAUUGUGAGAUAUUAACUUAAGGUGAGGAUUAAAUUGCAAAAGUGAGAAAAGUUCUAUGAUCCAAGAGUAAACACUUAAAGUUUAAGAAGUUAAACUAUAAAUAUGGAAAAGUUAAAGGGCGAAUAGAGCAAAUAUAUUAAGAGUGGAAGGAUCUAGAAAGUAAAGAAAAUGGAUGAUUAAAGACUAAAAUGAACCAUUGGAAAAGGAGGAAGGGUUAGAGGUAAAAAUCUACCCAAAAAAAUGCCAAAAUGUCUAAUAAUUCAUUAUUACAGGAACUGUGUUACAAAGCAAGACAAAUAAGACUUUGCUUUUAAAAGAAACAAUCAACCAUCGUUAAUUAAGCAAAAUCAGAGCAUCUCCGAAUAUCCCAUGCAAGUUUUCACACAAAAAGGAAUGGGAUAAAUAUUAAAUUUUAAAGAAUUAAAUAAAUAUUUAUUUAUUUUUAUAUCGGAUUAAUAUAAUUAUUUGUGUAUGCAAUAUGUCAAUAUAAAAUUAUGUUAAUUUGAUAAUAUUAUUAGUGAUUUGAAUCGAAUCAAAAUUUCAUGUAUAAAAUCGUAUAAAAUCAAAAUUCAUGUAUCAUACUACACGUUAGAACGAAAUUCAUAUAUAAUUUUAAUAUUUAUCUCUAUUAAAUUUUAAAAUGUUAUUUUUAUAUUCUAUAAUUAAAUUUAAAAACAAAUCAUUUUUUUAUCAUUUAGUUUUAGAUCAGGCAACUUAGAUUUGAGUCGAUUAAUAUUCAAGUUCGAGUUCCAAUAAUGUAUAGGUCUCAUAUUUACUAUACGAGUAUAUUAUGCGUAGAGUUUGUUUAAUCCCUUUUGAAUUGGUCCAAUUUUAUUUGAUUUUUUAGUUUGUUGUGCAUUGUAUUAAUUUAAUUUUACGAUAUUAUAUUUAUCUUAUAUAUAAAGAUUUUCACGAUGUUGGUGUCAUACAUAAUCAGAUCUCAAUUCAAUUGUUAAAUUAUUAAAAGUUGUUUAUUUCAAUAAAAUAAUAAAAAUUUAAAAAUAAUUUUAUAUUUUCAUAUAAAAUUUUAAAAAGUAUUAAUAAUAUUUAACGCAUAUGUAAUAUAUUAGAAAAAUAUAUAUCUAACUUUUUAACGGGCUUAUAAAAUACGAAUGAUUAGUUAUUGAGAUAAAUCCGAUAUAUACAUUAAAUAAAAAACGUGACUUACAAAAUGCAACAACCGAUAAACAUUUUCCAUAAUAAAAAAGAAAAUAGUCAUAGGCUGACGUGAAUCAGACUACCACUAAGUAGGUCCCAAGGAACGUCACAACUCCAAACUACCGCGUCUCCCUUUCAGAGAAUAAAUAAUAGAAAAGGAAAAAAUCCUUUUCCGGUCCCUCUUUAUUUUGAUAUUAAGCAAAUUAGUUUAUCUAAAAAAAUUUAGAGUAAUUUAAUUUCUAUCAAUUUUAAAAGUGACAAUUAAAGACAAUUACUUAUGAUAUUAGUUGUAUGUAUUUUUAUUGGUAUGAUAAUAAAUUUAGCCUUUGAUGCUUAUAUAUUUUGUGUAAAUAUUGACUGAAUUUAUAAAUAUUAUAAGAUAAAUUUGUUAAGACUAAAUUGAUAAAAUAUGUAAAUGUUACAGAUUUAGUUUUAUAUGCAUAAAAUUUAAGAGCUCAAUUUGUUAUUAUACCAAUAAAAAAUGUAGAAAAAAAUUAAUGCUCUUUUUAAUUGUUUUAGUUGCUCACUUUCGAAAUUGAUUCUCACUUUUUUAUAGGGACUAACUUGCUUAAUUCCGAAACUAAGAGGGAUUGAAAAAGUCUUUUUUCCAAAAAUAUCACAAUGCGCCUACAAAAUUCGCCAUCGCCGAAAAGUAGUGUCCGAAGUCUGAAUUUUGAUCAUUGAAGCUUUUCAAACUUCAAUAGUCCAUGGCGUUGUCAAAUUCCCUUUUCUUUCCUUCUUCUUACGCCGUCGACCUCCGACGUUCCACGGUUCCCGAUUCCGGCAUCGCCCCUUUUUUCACUUCUUUUGACUCUUCUAGAUUCCGCUGCAACUUUUCUCAGUGCGGCAUUAGGCCCAAUUUCUCUGCAAGAAAGUAAGAAACCAAAACGAAAAUCUGUAUGUCCUUUUUUUUUUGUUGUUGAUUGUUUUGUGUUAAUAGAUGAUGGGUAUUUUUAUUGUUGAUGCAGACGCAUUGUUUCUGCUGCUAACAAUGGUUUCAACACGGUUAAUUCAACUUCAUUGGUAAAAGAAUCCAUCUUCGUUUACCAUCUUUUACUUAACUCACAUAUGGGUCAUGGAACUUAAAUGAACAAUCUCAGCGAUUUCUAUCAAGUGCAUAAUGAUGUUGAUCAAUUUGUUCCGAUCAAAGCCCUUUUUUUUUUAAAAAAAAAGAAAAUUUUAACUAAAAAAAAUGCUAAAGAAGGGAAAGAAGAAGAAGAAUGAAGGUUGCUUACAGUUAGCUGAUCCAUGUUUGUGCAGAUUCCAUAGGAAACUGUAGAAGAGAGGGUAAGCUACAAUUGAAAGAAAUGUGAUUUUCAAUAUAUGAGUGAUGAAUUUAAUCAAAAUUAAGGUAGAAGAAUAUUUUUUCUUCUUAAAGAUGCAUUGCAAUUGAUAGCUCCAAGGAUAUGCCUUUCUAAAUUUUGAUAUGGUUUUCAAUUGAAGUACGCUGGACAGAACUAUUAUGCAGUUUCUCUCUUGCUUUCUUAGUGUUUUUUUUUUUUUGAAGUUCUUUGGAUGUUUAUUUUUAAGGAAAUGCUUAUUUGUGAUAGUUAAGUUUGUAGAUGCUAGAUGACAUCAAUGCAAACAGGGAGGACUGGAGGAGGGUGUGAGGGGUCGGGCAGGAAAUGUUGGGAAAGAGAAAGACAUAAACCUUCUGUUGCAAAACUCCAAAAUGCAAAUUUUAACCUAAAUACUUUAAAAUUCAUAAAAAAACUAGUUAGUAAAACAGAUAUCUAAAUAUGUUAAUCCCUUGAUCAGUGUAUUCUUGUUCUGCAUCACACUGCAUAUAUAAUGAUGCCAUUAGUUUAAUUGGCUGAUUUACAUUGCAGGGGACUGGCCAAGAUAAAGAUGAUUAUAUUCCAAUGCCAAUUGUUUUGAUUGAUCAAGAUUCAGAUUCAGAAGCAACAGUUGUGCAGCUGAGUUUUGGAGAUCGUUUGGGUGCUCUCAUUGACACGGUUAAGUGGAUAUCUCAACUUAUAUUUUCUCCUUUGAAAAAAUUAUAAGCUUAUUUUUCUAGGAUUACUGGCCAAGCCUGUUGUGCGAGUGAUUUUUUCUUUGUUUUAUUUUGUAAUUGAGUCAUCUAUGUUUAGGUAAGAGGCCUACUCAGCUCAAUUUGUUUAAAGUACUAUCUGACUGCAUUUUGUGGAGCUAGAAAUCUAGGGAUAUGUUGCAUAUUAGUUGUUACAUGCAUGAAUUUAGAUCACCACUCUUAAGUAAAUUUGGAUGAUUCAGAAAAUUAUGCUAUAUGAAUGUUGGCAUUAGCAUUUCAUUGUGUUACACUAAUGAAUGGUCUUGCUUCCAAUUUAAAUAAUUCCAGAAGGUUAUAGAUCCUAGCUAUGAGGGAAAAAGUUACUUAAGGUAAUGGUAAAUCUGAUAAUUCUCUCUCUCCUUGUUUUUUUUACUCACUUUUUUUUUAAUGUUUGGGCAGAUGAGAGCAUUGAAAGAUUUGGGAUUGGAUGUUGCAAAGGGAACUGUUGCCACUGAAGGACCAGUCAAACAAACAAAAUUUUUCAUCACACGAUUGUGAGUAGUUGUUUAGAUACUGUCAUGACUCAACUUUUUCCCUCCUUCACCCCUCCUCUCUUGUGAGCAUGUGUUUUAUAACUAGUUGCUGAAUAUUUUUCAUAGUUUGACUUGUAUCUCAACUCUCUCAAGUUUUCUGGUUCACUGCUUUUAGAUGUUUUAACUGCUAUUUGGAUGCUUCUGUUCGUAAAAUGUAGUUUUCCCCUAUCACACAUGCAUAUAUAUAAGCAGAUCUGAUGCUCAAAAAGCUUAUCAAAUGGGGAAUCAUUAACUAAUAGCGUAAUUUACUUUGCCUUGUUUGCUGAUUGGUUCGUUGAUUGUUUGCCCUAUACAUACAUUCAAAAUAAACUGUAAGCAUAUCCUAAAGAAAGUUAAUUACUCAAUGGCAUAACAUGUUGCAUGGUUCUAUUAGUUUGAUGCCACAUAAGCAGGUAGUGUUAAUGGCAUUAGUGGUUGAACUAACUUGAUGCAUGUUUCGGAAGUUUAAGGGGCCAACUGCACUUUUUUUUUUUAGUUUGGGUACCAGUGUAGAGUGUACUUUUUAAUGUGGUUUGGUAACAAUAUGUCAAGAGCUAAACAUCAUUAUUUUCUCACAGCUCAUAUGUUGGUCCUUGUAAAUUUUCUUAAUAUUAAUUCAGAUUGAUCAGCAUUUGUUAAUUGAUUUGGUUAUGCUAGAGACAAUGGGCGCAAAGUUGAAGAUCCUGAUCUGUUGGAGAGAAUUCGACUCACCAUUAUAAACAAUCUUUUGAAGUACCAUCCAGUAUGUAUGCUGAAUUCAUAUUUUUAGUCUUUCUCUUCUUCCCUUCUGCACCCCCCACACCUUCUCUUCCCCUCAUAGGUGGUUGAUCUCAUGGCUUGUCAAAGUAUAGAUAUUCUGUUGUUUUGAUUUUAUGCUUUGGAUUUUGUUACUUAUCCGGCUUUGAAUUUGACUUGUUAGGAAUCUAGUGAGCGACUUGCUAUGGGUGAGGCUUUUGGAGUAAAGGCUCCAGAGAAAAAGGUGACAUUAUCUAAUGAUUAAUGGAUUGAAUAAUUAUUUUUACCCACUUAACUUGGCUCACUUUGUUUCUUUGGUGUUCUAUAUAUGCUGUAUUUAAUUUUGUGAGAAAAGCUUUUUUCUCUUUUUGCUCUAACUACUGCAUUUGUUCCUUAUAUGUGGUGAUUCCAUGACACCCUUUUAUCUCUGAUAGAGUUGUUAUAAUACAAUAAAUAUUCGCCACCAGUCGUCACUAUGCAUAUGGAUAAUGGUUCUUGAUUCUGGUAUAAUACUAAAAAGAGUUGUUGCAUGUGCUAUUUGGGAUUGGGAUCUUAUGAACUUUGAACCUAAGCCUCUAUUAAUUUGUUUAUACAGCUUGAUGUCGACAUUGCUACUCGUAUACGUGUAAAGGAAGAUGGACCCAAGAGAAGGUAACAAAAAUGGUUUUCAGCACUUCAAUUCAUAGCUCUCUACUGUUUCAAUCACACAUUACCAAUAUCUUACAAUAUUUUUAACACGAUAUGAAUCCCUCUUUUAGGUAGUGUACUUGUAGAACAUAGGUUCCUUUUGUGAUAAUCAGCUUAUGAUUCUUCCAUGUUUUACCAGCUUGCUUUCUAUAGAGACAGCAGAUCGACCUGGACUGCUGGUAGAGAUUAUCAAAAUCAUUGCUGAUAUCAACAUUGAUGUAGAAUCCGCAGAAAUUGAUACAGAGGUACCCCUUUCUUUGUUUUUAUAUGUUAUAUCUUGGUUCUGCAACUUUUUUCAGCACCUUUUGUUCUGUGAACUUCCACAGGGAUUAGUAGCGAAAGACAAGUUUCAUGUCAGCUACAGAGGAGCAGCUUUAAAUAGUUCUUUGUCUCAGGUAUUUUGUUAACGAUGACUAUAUUUUCUCAUUAUUCUUAUUGUUCUUUCUUGAUUGCCGCUACUCUGUCAUUUUGUCACUCUUAAAUUAUCUUGUACUCUGUAACCUGCAGGUGCUGGUGAAUUGCUUGCGCUAUUACCUUAGAAGGCCGGAAACCGAUAUCGAUAGUUAUUAAUACUUGAAGGUGUGCUCUCCCUAUAAAUAAAAUUGUCUGGUUCUUGUACCAAAUCUAAUAUGAGCUCAUGAUAUCUAACUAUUCUUGUUUUUGAGCUCAUGAUUUAUAGAUUCAUGUUGUACUAUGCAUUCUGGGAUUUUUCUUGAAUCUUCGCACUUGCAUGAAUUGCAUCCUAUAUGAAAGCUAAAUCUUGGUUACAUAACUAAAUGACAUGAAAUGUUAGAGUACUUCUCAUAUUGAUGUAAGGAUUAUCAGACCGUAUCCGUUAUUAGGCAGAAACUCAUCCCAGGUAUGGUUCAAAGGUGGAGCCCCAUUCUUGCAGUCAUAGUGCAGAAGGAGCAUUGUUGUUUGCGAUUGAUUAGAUGAUCUCGAGUUAUAUUUUUCUAAGUUUAAACAUCAUAUCCUCGUAUUUAUAAAUACAUGUCUAGCACAAGUGUUGAACUAGAAUAUUUUGAAGAAAACGAAAAAUUCAGAUAACAUAGAUUACAACUACUAAGAAACCUUCCUUUGCAACUAUGUACUUCACAUAUGGUGUUCAGCACUUCAUGUCAUUGAACACCCAAACAACACACAACAAAUAGAGGAGUUUACUAAAUUGAACAAUACAUACCAUCACUCUAAACUUUUUCAGACCAAAACCAAUGCAUAAACCUCAACUAAUCUAACAUGACGAAACUUUAAAGACUAUAUUUUUGGUAGAAACAGUUAAAAACCAAUUCACCAUUGGUGACAUUCUUAGAUCAUUGCACUUAACAUCUCAUUCCAAAUAUCAGGCACCCCAGGGAGGCACCAAUGGCUACAAUCGGAUGAAAACUCUCUUGGGUGUUGCCUCUGUGCUUGGUUUAAAGCCCUUCUAUAAACAGAAGGAUGCGCAUCUCUUCGAAAAGCCGACAUCAUUGUAACGUCGUGCAGAUAUACCGGGAAGCUCAUUCUUUUUAAUACCCCUUUCAGUACUACAACUUGUUCAGGAACAUGUGGAUGGCUGAAAAAUUUAAGGGGAGUUUUCUGGUUAUAGCAUCUCCAACCAUUUUGUCUGCAAUGAACAAAAACAAAGAGAUAUAAAAGAGCUUAAAGUGACAUGAAUAUAGGUAAAAGAAUCAUGAAGGCGCCUAUACUUAGAGCUAGAUAACAUUUUACUCCCUCCACUAAAAAAAUAGACAAAUUAGUUCUUGUACCUUAGAUCAAAGAAUAAAUUUGCUCUUUAAUCUAAUGUACAAAAACUUAUUUUUGUUUCUUUUUGAGUAAAUGAGUAAAAUGCAAUCUGAGUCCUAAUAAAAGGGACUUUCAUAAUACUCUCACCCUCUAAUUUACGAUUUGUUAGAUACCUGUUAUGCCUAGGGGACACGCUUCUGAAAAUAACUCUAGUUUUACGAGGGUCAAUAUUCAAAUCAAUCCAUUUUGCCCAUGUAGUCAAUCCUUUUUGGUAUGCAAUCAUUGGAUUCAUGGUUUUAUAAAGAGAUUUCCCCUCCAUGUAAUAGUCCCACCUGUAUAUAAAUUAAGAAUCAUCUACCAUUACUUUAUCAAAAUAUGUGUCGGACAAGAAUACUCGAAAAUGUAUCUUACGAACUCCAUUGAUCAGAAUGAGUCCACCAAUGUGCUGAAUCAAACACAAGAACAUCAACACCUCUCCAAUAUCUAGCAUUCUCUUCAAUCAAAUCCAAAUGCAAGACUCUCUUGUUUUCAGGUCCUUUCUUCAAUUCCACAAGCAAUGGAGCCCAAGAAAACUCGAUCGACGUCUCGAAAUCCUAUAUAAACAACAUGCUCCGUUAACACUUAAAUGCAGUCCAUUUGUUUGAGCAUCAAGCAAGCACAAAGAAAAAGCGUUAUGGUUUUCUUUUUUUAAAGUCCAUCUUACCAAGGCAUGGAAGGCCAUUGAAAGACCAUUGUAGGUCACUUUUUUAUGUCCUGUUGGUAUAACUCCUUGCACUAGGCAAACUAGACUCUCCCAUUGGUUCCUCAUUAUAGAAUCACCCACUAGCAUUAUCCUUUUCCUUCUCAUCUUCCCAAGAAACUUCAGUGCAUCAAAUCUGUAAUCAGAAUAUCAGUUCAAGAAAUUAAAGCAUUAAUCUUAAAAGAGCAUCCUUUUGACACAAAGGGUCAUAUGUCAUAGCCUUAUAGGUCAUGACAUGAGUUCAACUGUGUGCAAACUCUCUAAUUUUUAUAAUUUUGAACUCAUUAAGACUCUUAAUAGAGUGGGAGGCAAAACCCAAAUAUAUGAUAUCUCAGUCAACUAGAGCUAAAAAAAUGACAUUUAAGCAAAUUCAGUAUCUGAAUCCCAGUAUUUACCAACUCUUUUUUCUAUUCUUGGAAGUAUAUAGAAAAGUUUCUACGGUUUUGAACCCACCAAGGCUCUUGAGAGAGCCGGGAGACAAAACCCAAGUAUAUGAUAUCUCUGCCAACCCAGAACUUAAAAAUUGGCAUCUAAGCAUGUAGGAAAGUUUCUAUGGUUUUGAACUCACCAAGAUUUUGACAGAGUUGAGAGACAAAACUCAAACAUGUAAUAACUGACUCAGAGCUUAAAAAAUGGCAUCUAAGCAGAUUCAGGAUUCGAAUCCUGGCAUCUGCAAUCCUUUUGUUCUAUUCUUGGAAAGUAUGUACGUACCUUGGAAGAGAACAACCAUUUGGCUUCCAUUUCCACUUUUCAUAGCCAGAAUCUGGCCUUCCAUUUCUUUGACAGGUAACAGCAGUACUAAGAUAUGGGCAGUUAGAAUCAUACAAAGGAUAUGAUUGAUCAUAAACCCAUUUACCAACUGAGAAAUCACAUCUCGUAGGCCGAUCCUCACGCCUGCCUUGCACCAUUAUGACUCCAUUGUCUUCGUUGUUGAGCCAAGAAGACGAUGACUUGCCAUGAAAGAAGCAAAUGAACGAGGUGAUGAUGAAGACGAAGGUGAAAUGUGGAUAAUUAGCCAUUGAAGGGGGAAAUGAGGGAAGGGAGUGUAAAAUUCACAGCAUAGAAGGCAGCAUUUUCAAGUGCUCUUAAAGUUGUCAACCAUAGCUUUUCUUUUUUCUUUCUUUCAUUGAGGCAUGAAUGGCGGUAAUUAAUUAUGAGUGGACCAUAUACAUGUUCAUGGAAAGUAAAAGUGCUUUCCUUUUCACUCAUUACCGUUUCUUCCUCCUUCCUACAGCUAUUGGUAGGUGAUUCAAUUUAACAUUACUGUUCUUUUCAAUGGGGGUUGAAUUCUAGUUUAGUUGACAUUAAUAUUGUUAUCAGUCCAGUAAGAUAUAACUUUAAAUAUGUAAAAAUGUAUUUAUUUUAUAUAUUUUUAUAAUUAAAUUUAAAUUUAAAUUUUUUUAUUAUUUAAAUUGAAUUCAGACUGAAUUAACUUGAAGUAUGAAAAUUUUUAUUCAAAUUUAAUUUUAAUUGGACUGAACUUAUCGGACCAAAUGAGGUACCCAACAAUUUCUUCCUAUUUCUUAUCUAUAAUUUUUAUUCCUUUCUAGUACUUUUUCCAUUGGUAUAAUUUAAGUAUCAUAAUUCUUUAUAAAACAAUAAAAGUAGUCUUUAAUUUUCAUCUAUUUCUACUUUUUCUAGGACUUCCCUUAAAUUGUGCUUAAAAUUUUUAAUUGUUGGAUUUUUUAUUGAAAACUUUAUUCGUAACGUUACAUAUUUUAGUAUUAUUAUAAUUUCAUCGCAUGAGAAAUUAAACGUAUGAGUCUCGAGUCUUCAUCGUUUAAUCAUAAUAGAUAUGGAUGUCGAUAUGAAAAAUAACUUUUUUUCUAAAUUGGUUAGUGUGAGAGAAUCAACUUGUGUUAAGUGAGGAGUUAUUUUGUCUUCAAGCAGAUUUAUUCCCAUUUUACUGUGACCUCGAGUCAUAAGAGAAUACUCUAGUGUUGUUGCAUUUAGAGCAACAUGUCCUUGUUCAGAUCUCAAUAAGCGGGUAGCCAUUACAAUAUGAUUGAAAACUAGAAUUUAGUGGAGGAAUGUUUUGUGUUUUAUGUGAAAAACUAAAAAGUUAGAUUAUUAUUUAUAAGUUUUAGAAUUAGGGUUUUUAAGAUAACCUCGACACGUAUGGGUAGGGAUGUCAAUUAAAAAUUUCUUUUUCCCUUCAAAUAAUUAGUUAUAGAUUAUGAUCUAUUUUUUAAAAUACUAUUCACAGGUAUUAGAAGAUUAAAUUAAUUGUUACAAUUUAAAAUUUAAGUAUUUUAAAAAGAACUCGAUAUUGGUUGAUGUCAAACGGCACAAUAAACAUAAUUAAAAUCGAUAUCCGCAAAUAUCGAGGUAUCCUUUAAGAAAACAUAUUCUAAAAAAAGCAUAUCAUAAUAAAUAAGGAUAACAAUAAAUUUUGCUCUCAGUAUUUACAUUUUUUGUCAAUUUAGCCGUUAUUAUUUUUUAAGUUAAAUUUUGCCAUUAAUCUUUCAAAAAUAGUUGAAUUACUUUUUUUAAUAAAAAUGUUGACUAAAACAUUAAUUUUUUUAAUACUAUUGGCGUGGCAACCACGUGACAGUCCAUAUGUACAUAAUGUUGACUUGACAUUAUUUAUCUUAUAUGUCAUUUCAAUAAAUCAUUUUAAAAAAUAAAAUAAAAAUUGAAAAAUAUAAAAUGUUCAUACUUUUUUUUUAAAAAAAAAAGCAUAAAGUACACAUGGAUUGUCAUGUGAGUUACCAUGUUUGAAAAAAUUAAUGUUUAAUCAAUAUUUUUUUGAAAAAUUAAUGAUCAAAUUCGACUCUUUUUAAAAUAUUCGGCGAAAUAUAACUAAAAAAAAAUCAUUUUAACAAAAAAAAAAUUGACCAGUAAAUUUACCAUAAAUAAAAAAAUUACAAUACCUAAGUAAAAUACCUGAAUUUAAGUGCUUUUACAGAAUUGUUUGCUUUGUAGCACACUUGGAAUGUCAAAAACUCAAAAAAGAGAAAGCGAAAAAGAACAUCAUAAAUCAUAAUAAUAUUUCAGGGCAAAUGCAAACAAAGCAUUCAUCACACUCACACCUACAACUAUUAUGGCUAUCAAAUUUUCACCUUUUUCUUUUAAUUUUUCAGUCAAAAGUUGAACUAAUCUUAUAGAAAGAGAUACUUGUGUUUAUGGAAGUUUCCAUUAAAAUACUCUUUCUAAUAAUUAGAAUAGAGGGCGGGUUUUAUGGAUUAAACUCAAAUUCUCAUAUUAUAUAAUAUAAUAAAUUUAUCACUAAGAUAAAAGAUUGUUAGUUGCCUCAACAACAUGAUAAAUAAUUAUAAGGUUUAAAAUAAAUUUUAUUAUAAUUAGUCUGUGUGAUUAAUAGAAGGAUAAAGUGGUGGUUUGGAUGGUGGUUCACCUUGGGCCAAGGCGAAGAGUCAAUGGAAGUUGAUUGAAUAUCAAUUUUUAUUAUAAGAUCAUUUUCCAAUUUUUAUUUCAAGAUUUUUUAGCAUCUUUAAUUAAUCUUUUCUAUUUGUGUUGAAUGGAGUCUAUAUCAAUAUACUUCUAAUGUCGAAUCAGGAUCAACUAGGACAGAAAUAAAGCAAUCUUCUCCGGCGGUAGAUCUUUCUCGAAGUAGGUUUGAGCAAAAAAAUUGAGAUUUUAAUUCUGCCAAUGUACGUAAAUUUUUACUAUUACUAAGAGAUAAACAUGUAGGUAUCACCAUCUGAGAUUUUAAUUCUGCCAAUAUAUGAUUUUAAGACUGGAUCUCAUGCUAAUGCAUGUCUAAGUGAGCUUAUUAUUUGGAUUAGAGAACCAUUGCUCUAACAAAACACCAAGAGAGGUUGGGAGAACCAAUUUUCAGAACAAACUUUUUAAUAAUUUUUUAGAAUUAUUGUUGAAAAUGUUGUAAAAGUAUCGAAUUGAAUGUUUUUAACUAUAGUUUAGGGAUCAAAUUAGAUAUCGAUCUUUAAAUUAACAUGCUACCUCACUUUUUUGUUAAAAUUGUAAUGACAAUUAACAUACAAGCAAUCAAAACAUUAUAAAUCAAUAACAUUAGUGAUUAAAAUAUAACUAUUCAUAAUUCAACAGUAAAAUAAGAUAUUUCACGGAAGUUUAAUGACCAUAAACUAAAUAUUUUGGUUGACUUGAGGGGUUAAACAUAAGUGUAUAGGUAUAUAUCAGUUCUAAUGGUAACAAAUUAUAAUAUAUUUAAUAAGUUAAUUUAAUAUUUAUUUUUAUAAAAAUGUAAUUAAAAUAUUUUAAUAUAUAAUUUAAAAUAUUUGAGGUAUAAUUUCGAUAGAAAAAUAACAUAAAUAAUUUCUAUGCCAUUUAUAAUAUACUAAUAUGGUUUUUGACCCACUUUCUGUUGAGUAAAAUUUUAAAUGUUACAAUAUGCUCUUGGUGCUUUUAUUUUCAAAAGAGUAGGAAAAAAAAGUGAAGAUUUCAUGUCCAUAAAACAACACAUACAUUAAAGCAAGUUUGGAUUGAUUAUACAUCAGCGAAAUUUAAGUAAAAUCAUCUAGAAAACAAACUUCUACCAACCCGUAGUGGUUUGCACCAAAGUGUACUCCACUAAUAGCGUUCUCUUUUUCCCAAUUGAAAAGUACUCAGGAUAUGGCGUGGCUCUACUCUCAAGUCCUACACACUCUACCACUACCAUGCUCCAUAUCGAAACAAAUGUUCGCAAGUAAUACGNNNNN